UUUUCACAAAGGUAAAGUUUAUAUACUUUUAUUCAUAAUUCAUGAAAACAAAAUAGAGUUAUAAUUCAAUAAAAGGGCCAAUAUGAGAGAAGCGAAAUUGUAAUUCCAUUUUCAAGCUUGAGAAGCAAUAUACCUAUCAAUUCUAAUAUUAAAAUCAAAAUUCUAUGGUGUAUUCAUUUGUCUCUACUCAUCUGCCUCUGCAGCUUUCCAUCCAUAUAGUGCCAUAUGCCAAAUUCUGAAAAAAAAUACCCCUUACCUUACCCUUGUAUCUACUCUAACUUCAAGCAAACUCGUCUCAUAUGUCAAGGAAGAGAAAAAUUAGAAAAUUACCAUUCUAGAUGGAUAACAUAUAUAUAUAUGUAAAUAAUAGAAAUACUUACUAUAUAUCUCUCUAUGUAUAUUGUAUUGCAAAUGUCAAGAAAAUGAUUACCAUUCUUACCACCUGCUGAUAUAGGGUCAAAUGCUAUGCACAACAUCUCAAAUGGCAUCUUGACCGUUAUAAUACAAACUAUAGGCUGCAUGUUUGCCCUCCACUCCAACUCCACUUAAGGUUAGUUCAGCUCUACCUUUAUCUUGUUUCCUUUCAAAUCUUUAAUUUUUGAAAAAAAUAUAUUGGAAUACCCCAUCCUAUUUUUUCUUUCCCGUUUUAUUUCAUACCAGGCACGUGAGCCGCAUGUGCCAGGUAAUAGCAGUAAUGGCAGCAAAUGAAGUGAUGAACCACCCCGGAAAAAAGGCCAAGGCGACCAUCUUACCGGCGGUGACAAAUCUAAAUUCUCCUGAACUCGUGUCCCUCACGUGACCUUAUCACCCUUUUUCCCCAAACCCCUUAUACCGCAUUCAGUUCCCUUUUAUUUCUCCGCCCAAACCCUCGCGGAGUCCCCAUCUCCGAACGCCUCCAAGACCCUUCCUCUAGGGUUUGGGAUUGGAUUCCGUAGUCCUACUCUCCGAAUUCCUCCACCGAGUUUGAGGGAAGUGGGUUCAGACCGGUCUGUUCCAUUUUCAGGUAAGAUCUCGUGGGCUAAAACCCUACGCUCCUUUCCUACUCACCCAAUUUUACGGCGAUUUCAUAUAAAAUGAUCUGUUUUUUAUUCGAAAGUUGACAAACUCAAUGGAUGGAUUUAGGUUUUUUCAACGUUGAACGCCUUAUAAUCGUCCAUCAUGGGUCUAAAGUUUUUAAAUGGGAUGUUGUGGUGAUCUUUUUGCUAGAAAUAUUCUAAUUUUUAUAAAAAGUUCAUGAUUCUUGGUAGGUUUAGGGUUUCCUUGCAUCUAAUAAUAUCAAGUCCUGUUCAGGAUUAUCCAAAUUUCGUUUGAAGAUCUUGCUGAUGGGCGAUCUUUCUAUUUCUUUUUCUUUUUGGGAUCGUUCUUUAAUGAAUGAAUAGCACUUUUUUCUUUUCUUUACUUUGGCCUUUUCUGGGAACUCGCCGAAUUGGUAAUCUGUCCCUUUCUUUGAAGCUCUGUGUUUAUAGGAAUUCAGCUGUAUGGCAUCCCAAUUAUCUCGUGAGUGGUUUGGGAUCCAGCAGUUCCCGGCUGCCACACAGAGCAAAUUGCACGAAUUGCUGGGAAAGCUGAAGCAAGAGGUCUGUGUUCUUCUUCGCGAGAUCUUGCCGCAAUGCAAUAUCUAUGGCCUUCUCAAUCUUUGCUUCUUAUCCUUUUUUGGGGGCUUAUUUAUUUUAAUGUAUUUAUUCUUCUCAUGGUUACUUUAAGAAUGUGAGCACGUUGACAAUUCUGGUGAUGGGCAAGGGUGGUGUUGGAAAGUCGUCCACGGUGAACUCCAUAUUGGGGGAGAGGGUGGCUGCUGUCAGCGCUUUCCAAGUUUGUCUUCUAAAUACUGAGUAGUCAAUUUUGGGUAUUGAUUCUCUGGUAUAAUUCCUUAAUAUGUUAUCGCUGUUGCAGUCAGAAGGAUUGCGACCAAUGAUGUGCUCACGCACGCGAGCAGGAUUCACUUUGAAUAUCAUUGACACUCCUGGGCUUGUGGAAGGUGGAUAUGUCAAUGAACAGGCUCUUGAAAUCAUAAAACGGUUUGUAUCAGAGCAGAGUUAUUAGUUGGAGAUUCAUCCUAGAGGCUAAAUUUUUGUAGUCUAUCAAUAUUUUAUCUGUAAAAUGGGAAAUAAAGGCCAGAUGUAGGGAUGUAUACUAUAAGUUAACCAAGUUAUUAUGUGAUCACAGUAAGCAUUAUGUGGGUUGAGUAGGGCUUUUGCAAAUUUAAGCCCAUGAGAUUGGACUGUGCCUGCCCAUCUUUCCAAAAAAACCGUUUAUGAUGAUGCUAGCUCCUAAAGACUUUUUUUGGCAGGGUGAAAUUUUAAAAUGUUGGCCAUCUUUAGCCUGUUUCCCAAGAAUUUAGAUCUUCUCCAGUUCAUGUUUUUAUCUGGUCCUUCAAGUUAAAUGGCCCGCUGCUUAUUCAGGUCUGUCCUGAUCAACUACUGGUGAUGGAACAGAUCAAGCUCGUGAUUUGUUUUGUCAGCCAACAUUAAUUGUUGCUGACAAUGUACUGGAAAUACUGGGCAGAAACAUGAAUAGGAGAAAAUACUACCUCCUUAAUUUCUGAGGGGAAAAAAGUGGAGGACUUUAGCAACUAGUUUAUUUACUCCCUCUUCCUAAAGUGGUCUCUGAUUUUCUUAUUGUAUUUUGUUCCAUGCGAUGAAUAAGAUUCUUCCUCUGAUUUGCUUUUAACGCUAUGCUUAUGCUGCUUGUUUGCUUCAUAUGGUUUUAUAUAGUUUGAAGUAAUAUGGACUCUGUUAAUAUGCCAGGUUUCUCUUGAACAAGACUAUCGAUGUUCUUCUGUAUGUGGACCGAUUAGAUGCAUAUAGGGUGGAUAGUUUGGAUAGACAGGUUAUUAAAGCCAUAACAGAUACAUUCGGUAAAAGAAUAUGGCGGAGGGCUUUGGUUGUUUUAACUCAUGCUCAGCUGUCACCACCAGAUGGACUGAAUUAUGAUGAUUUCUUUGCUAAACGAUCAGAAACACUUUUAAAAUACAUUCGCUUAGGUGCACGUAUUAAGAAACAAGAGUUUGAGGUAUGAAGCUCUUCAUCUUGGAUGUCCAUUACAGUCAACUUUAACCUAUGUAUUUUUUCAGUUUUGUCUGAUGUUGUCUUCUGCUGUAAGUCUGCAACAUGUUAUUUAGUUACACUGUGCGGCUUUUCUCUCAUAAAUGGAAAUAUUUACAGUUUUGCAUAUGAUUUAAAUGUACCCUUGCAGUUAAGGUAUUUAUUAAUCUUACCAUCUAGUUUUGCUAGAGAAAGAUUUUAUUCCAUUUUCUGUUAAUUCAUACUUAUUAUAUUAUAUAGCACAAGCAUAUGCUUUUUUACUGUGGAUGUAUUCUGUAAAUUGCAUUGAUAAAUGAAAUUGUAGUUUAGUUGACACACAAUGACCUUCUACUGUUUAAAUUUUGACCAUAACUAUAAAGAUUUGUUUGCUUAGAUAUUUCUGUUAAGGGCAUGGUUCGGCUCGGUUCCGCCUGUUCCGAGCUAUACCGGUGGCUCACCGGUACGGCUCUGGCAUUGAAAAUAGCUCGCUGCCGGAGUCGGAAAAGGAAAAGAGAAAGAGAGCGAGGAGGGGAGGGAGGGAGAACGAGUGGCAGCGGACGUUGCGGCCGCGGCUAAAAAUUUUGAAAUUUUUUAAGUGAAGUUGGCAAAUCGCUUGCCGACUUCACCGACUUCACUUAGAAAUUUCCAAAUGAAAAAAUUUUGAAAUUUUUAAGUACUAAACUUUGCAAUAAUCACAUCUUCAUCCACAACUUUGCAUGCAGUACUAAACUUUUCACUAAAUACAGGUUUAUCUAUUAAUAAUGCAAAGAGAUAAGGGCUGGAAAUUGAUUUUUUCAGCAAAUUUAGUCCGAAAGCUUGUCAGCGUCCCAAGAGACACGUCCUCAGUUAUUUCUAUUUGCCAUUAUGAAUAAUUGCUUCUCCAAUGAACGCCAAUUGACCUCUUUUAGCACUCAUGAUAAUCAGAAACCUUUGACAAGUUUGUAAAAAAAAACAUACAUAAUUUUCUCCUCUCUAAGUCUUUUCAUCGAUUGCCUAAGCAAGAAUUUGGUCUUCACUAUCGACCUUCCAGAAUUUUCCUUUUUUUUUGCUAGGAAAAUCUAUCUAUAUUUAUGCUAUGAGAUUUUUGCCUUUUUGUACAAUUUUUGUUCUAGCAUCUUGGCACUUAACUUUAUUGAUGGGAGCAAUAAUUUACAUAAAUUUGCUCUUAUUAAUGGGUACCACAUUACUUAAUCAUCUGGCAUACUACUGUUUUUUCAAUUCUUAUGAAUUGACUAGCAAAUCAUUUUAUAUCUCAUUUGAUCCUCAUGCCAUAGCUCUUACAUCCUUCUCCGUGUAGUCUCAAAGCCAUUUUUUUGAAACUGAAUGAAGAAGAAGCUAACAACUCCCAUAUAAUACCUCGUCUAAAGUAAUUUAGCAAUUGUGGAUAUGAUGCAUCCUUUUUAGUUUCCAUCCAUCAUUCACCAACAUUCUAUUAUCUCCACUUUUAGUGAAUCUAAGUUAUUAUUAUACCUAGUUCCAGUGUCUAUGGGCUAAUUAUUUUAUAUUUCCUUUAUUGUUUUAGCUCAACUUAUCAUAUAAGAUACGAUAAUCUGCACAAUGACUUUUAUUUUUUGAAUCUUUCAACCUCUAUAUGCUCUUUAAAGCCUUUUUCUUAAUUGAACUUUGCUAUUAUGUAAAGUAGGUCCUCUUUUUUUGUUUACCUCUUCUUUCUUACCAUUCCACCACAUUUUUUUUUAUAUAUGUCAUUACCUUUUCUCUGUAAUUUACCUCUCAAACCUUCUAAAGCAACUUACCUGAUACAAUGUCAUUUGGUUUCACAGACAUCUUGAUUCAAUUAUCUUUAUUCUUUUAUCUGCAAAAGCUGCUAGUUUUUUUUUUUUUAACUCCAUCACCAGUAUUUUGUGUUUUAAUUUUCCUUCUUAUUGGAUACAUGUAGAAUUAUUAGCCUAUGUUGUGGUCGGACCUAUCUUAGUGAUCUUUGUGAUUAAUUACUCUUCUCCAUUAGAAAAUUAAUCUGAGACACCUUCCGAACUAAUAAAAUUAACUAUAUAUUCAUCAAACAUUUUUUAGAAAGACAUCUUUGUUAUUGCUAGCUCAUUGGCUAUUGCAAAUGUAAGACAUCCCCCAUUAUAUUCCUAUCACCAAACUCUUCACCAAUACUGUUAUUUUACUGCUUAUUAAAAUAGGAUUCCACAUACUCCCAUACUUUGGUGGCUUGUUAGAAGCUUUGCAAAUAGGGUUUUUUGUUUUUUUCCUUAAUGUUGCUUUUAAGUGGAUGAUCAAAGUUCGAUUCCCUCAACUGCCCCAUGAGAGAUGGGUAGCAUGCUGUGGUGGAUUAAUCCCAUCAUUAAACAUAUAGCAUCUUUUGAGAUCAACAAGAAACUAUUGACAGAGGAAUAGAUAAAUCGUAAAACAUCCUAAUUUCUUUAAAGUUUUGAAGAAAUAUGACAUAUAGUUUAUACUUUGCUCCUUGACCAGUUUGUUAUGUGAGCAUCAUCAUGCCCUACUCUUCAUUUAGAUUUUUAUUUCCUAGGGAUAGAGAAGUACAUUUAUUCCUAUCCUUUACCUUUUAGAAACUCUUACUGGUUGAUCCUUGUAACUAAAUCCUAGAACUUAAUUUAGUGGAGGUGAUUGAUAUGCUUACUAACUUGGAGAUAAUGUUUGAUCAUUUUAUGUAACAAAUCAAACACAAAACAUGCUCCUGUUUACUGGAACAAUAGACCUGAAAUAUGUCACACUGCCCUAGCAAUCUCUUAAGAGGAUGGCACAAGAAUACUCAAAGGCAAGUAGGAUAAACAACAUAUUGUUGUCCUAUCAAACACUAUACGACAACAUUCCUAUUCAGGUAGCUUUGUGCACCUUGUUGUAGGUAGAGGUAUGCUAGCACAUGGAAAUCUAUCAUGGUACCCAUGUAGUUUGCACAGAGGAAAAAAAUAACAAAAAAGGGAAUAAAACAAAAGAUGAACAAGGACUUUAAAUAUAGCUGACACCCCUAGUUCUGUUACGAUCAGAAAACUGAUGAAAAAUGAAGGUUGUUUACAGGAUAGAGGAAGGAUAAGCUUUGAAAUUGCUUCAGGGCCAUGUAGAGACUCUAUGUCUAAAUCCAAAAUGCUUCAAAGGUUUACUGAUUCGAAAAAUGGCGAUGAAGAUGAGAAUUUAGAAAAGGAAGAGAAUAAGAGAUUAUUGGAGAGAAGAAGAGAGAAUGAGGAGGAGGAGGAGGAAGGGAAGGAAGUGCACCGAGUGAUUUACAACCAUAGAGAGUUUCUUAUUAAGUAUUGUUAGGCUAGUUGCUCUGGGGUGCUUAAAAGAUCCACAUAACUUUAGAGAGGUGUGGUGAUGAUGAUGCUUAUUUAAUAGAUAUUGUGGUAUAACAGCUCCAAAACAUGUAACCAAGACGCUUUUGAAGGGAUGUCAGUGAUCAUGAUGUUUUUUUCGCAGAUAUGGGGGGUACUAUCAUUGUUUCAAGUGUUUGCUGGUGCUGGGUGGCACAUAUCAUGCCAGGUCAAGUUGGUGCAGCACAUGUCAGCAUGGCACCCAUUAUUUUGAUAUGGGAAAGCACAUGUCACAUAAGCUGGUGGUACUUAAAUCAUUGGUUAUAACAGCUCUAAAGCAUGCAAUUGAGUCUGAAAUCAUAGUUAAUAAUAAUGGUAAAACCCAUGGCAACUGAGAAGGCUGAAAAUCAUGAUUGUUAAAUGAACAUCAACAAUGCUUAUGAAUAUUUGUCAAUUAAUCCUUAACCACGAGGCCUUUGAUAUUACAUCUCAUUUUUUCUUCUUUCUGCAUUUGCCUUAUAAGCACCUUCUUCUAGUCUUAAUUAUCCUCUGUACUGGCCAACUUGGUGAAGAGAGAUUAUAUUUCUUCCUGUCAUCACAAAAAAAAUAUGUUUCUUUUGUUUUUGAAAACUAUGUUUAAUAACAGCUUCCUCAUAAUCUGUACACUCCAACUCUUCCUCGUCACAUCAGCACACCUUUUGAUUAUUGUUCUUCUUUACCAUAUGAAAGCCAUGCUUUUGAAUCAGGAAAAUAUUUGAACCCGAGGUUCCAUCCUUGCAUCAACAUUUCAUUUCUUUCUACCAUUUAGUCUUUGCACUCUUUUAACUGUUGCAGUUUAGAGUAAAACCCGAUUUUGAGAUGACCAUCAAGACAAUGUUGGCUGACUUAUGUCCAUCAAAUCAAGGAUUAAUUAGGUAGUCUCCUGCACCUUUUAUUUGUCUCAUACUGGACUUGUAGUGAAAUUCCAGUCCUUUUCUUUGAUGGGGUUAUAUCGAUUCAUAUAGAAGAUAACAUGCUUAUGUGGUAACGAAAGAGAUGAAUGAUGGACAAUGUGAAUUCUAUGAAGGCAAUGCAGUGUUGCAAGUGAUCUGACGUGUAACAUUAUUUGUAGAUGUAAAACCAUUGCACUGCUUGCUGUUGUUGCAAAAAUACGGAAUUUUCUUUGAACAAUGGUAACAGUAUCUGGACUGUUGCAGGGCCUAAAGCAACCUAAUAAUACUUUCAGCCUGAUAAAUGCCCUGUUACCUGAUUGGUAGCUUUACAGGGAAGAUAAUUGAUGUUCUGAGGUUAUUAGAUAUGAUCAUUGGGCUGGGUCAGAUUUGGUUGUUGGAGUUCAAUUCAGGUUUCUUUGAGAAACAUUUGAGACUGAACAACCUGAUCCAGUCCUGUCAGAUGGGUAUGCCCGACCCUCCCAUUGGGAUCCCCAACAUAGUGUGAUACAAAGUUAAGAUGUCAGGGACAUACUAUCAUGCACUACCAUUGUGCAUGCCUGCGUCCAUAUGCAUGUGUAUGUAGAUAUCAUUUAGCUGGCAGCAGGGGACUCUUCAAACUUAACCUUGAAGCAUUUAUUUACUUGUACCCAAAAAAGUGUUUUUUUCAAAAAAGAUGACUAUCGGGAUUUGGAGUUUAACUUUGUAAUUGUAUCUUGAAUUGGUUUCCUUUGGGCUGUGUGUGUGUGUGUGUGUGUGUGUGUACCCUUUCAACAACAUUGAAUCCAGUCAAUGACGUUUCAGUAUAUGGUUGCUUGCUCCAGACAUACUAUCUGAUUACAUCAUUACUGAACUUCCUAAUUGUCCUGUAAGUGUAGCAUGAAUAACACUAUAUUGACAGUUGGUGAUAACCUGCUCCAGUAGGUCAAGGGUGUGAAAACUGUUACUAAAUCUCCUGUCUGAGCCCUGAACUGUUAAGGAAUAGUAAAUGCCACCAAUUGUUGAUGGAAUCAUCAUUCAGCCAAUUUCGUUAGUCUUCUUUCAAUUUUUAUAACUACCUUUUGCAUCAGUAAGAUGGCAAUCUAGAAUUUUAUGCUUAUCAAGUCUGAACAUCUGCUUGACCUCUCAAGUUUGAUUCCUCCAUUCAUGUAUAAACCACAUCAAUCCAUCGGUCUCAUAUAUCUGUACUAAGAAAAGCCUUUUAUUCAGUCCGUUUAUACAUUGAGGUUAGCUCAAACAGAUAUUGGUUGGGUGGCAUUGAUUUUGAAGGAUCAUGAAUUUUUGCUAUUAGGAUCGUACAUCCUCGAACAGUAGUGGCAGUUCAAGUAUUUGAAUUUGUUGAUGUCUUCUUCUUGAAUUAUGAGCUGUAAUAUAGCUUCUAAAAGAUUUCAUGAUAAACUAGUUCAUGGUACAAGGUGGGGCUUGAUUAUACAGUGUCUUUUGUUUAAGUUAGGAAUCUGUUGUUCCUGUGGUCUUGGUCGAGAACAGUGGGAGAUGCAAAACUAAUGAUAAUGGGGAGAAGGUGCGUCCUAUUCCUCCUUCCCUCUUCUCGUCUUCCUUUUAAAUUUCUUUCAAAUUUGUCUUGGUUGUUUAAAGUAAUGUAUUUUGUAAAAUCGCAGAUUCUUCCUGAUGGUACUGCAUGGAUUCCGAACUUGGUUGAAGUAAUAACAGUUGUUAUCUCAAAUGGGAGCAAACCUAUUACUGUUGAUCAGAAGUUGAUUGAUGGCCCCAACCCUAAUGAGAGGGGAAAGUUGUUCAUACCUCUUAUCCUAGCUUUCCAGGUCCGCUUCCAUGUUGCAUUAAACCAUUGAAAUUUGGGACAUAGUAUUUCUCCUACAGAAAUGAGCUCGUAUUUUAUUUUUACUGAUUUCUGCCUAUAUUUCAGUAUUUUUUCGUGGUGAAACGGAUCCAGAAAGCCAUAAAGCAGGACAUAGCAAAAGAAAGCAAGCCUCUUUGGGAGCUGCGCGACAUGGGCUUGGCAAACCGGAAAUUCUAGAGGUUUAAAGUUUUUUUUCUCUUUACCUUUUUUGGGGGGGCUUAGCAUGACAGCUCUCUUUUUUCUGCUGCUGUUUUGUGACUUUUGAUGUACCAUUAACUGGCUUUAUAGGAGUAGCUAAGUUGGGCGGCAGAUUAAGAUUUUAUUGUUGAGGAUGAUUCUAAUUCCAAUGUUAUUCAGUGUCAUGGUUAGUUUUUUGAUUGCUGUAGCCUUCAACUUCGAAGCAGCUAAAUGUGAUAUUCGGUCGUUUGCAUUCUUUUCUUUUUCUAGAUUGUCUUUCUUUUUGGAAGAAAUGAGAGAGAAUAAAUUGCCAGAUUUUUUUUUAUUAUAAAUGAAACAAAAGUAUUACUUUCAUUACAUGGAGACUGAUAGAGGGGAAGCUCAACCAAAGCAUUUAAGGGUGAAAGUGGAUCGGAUAAUAUUCGUUUGAAUUUAUUUUCGUGUGUAAAUUUAUUCGAAUAUGAAUAGCAAUUUGAGUAUUAGAUUAAUAUUUAUAUUUAUAUUUAUUAAAAAAAUAGAUAUGCAUGUGAUUAGAUAAUUAUCUGAUUUAUUGAAUAUUUAUUUUCAUUUGUAAUCUUAUUUAAUUUUUGAUAUAUAACUCAGAAUUUUUUUUAAAAUAUAAAUAAUUACAUUAACAUUGUUAUUAACUUAAUUUAUUAUCUACUUAAUAAUAUAUUUAAUUAUUUAAUUUAUAUUAUAUCUAUAUUUAUAUUUUUAAUAUUCGAUUGGUAUCUGUAUUCGUUUAAAAUAAAUAUGAAUAUGAAUUUUUGCGUUCGACUAAUCUUCCUAUUUAUAUUUGUUAAACAAAAUAAAUAUGGAUAUGGAUAUGCCAUUAUUCGAUUCAUAUUCAAUUUGGUUUUAGCUCUGUAAGUAUUUGGAGGUUUGGAGCAUGGAUUCUCAAAUCUCAAUAUGGGUAUCUUAAAAUAACAAUAGGAACGUUUCUGUGCUUCUAUUUUUUAACAAUAGAAAUUCGUAUUCCUAUCUUAUCGGCCAUUUAUUUAGUUUUAGCACUGAUGAUUGUCAGAAGUCGAUUCAUUUUAGUGACCGUUCGGCUUGGUGUAAGUGGGCUCCGAAGUUACUUUGGAUCGUUUCUUUCUGAAUUGGGUUAGACGUUCUUAUAACGGAAAGUCCAUUUAGUUUAAUAAAAUGCUUGAAGUAGACUUCCCUUGGUCUGAGUUGGGUUUAGUUGUUCAGUUAUGGACAACUAAACAGUUUAUAAGCUAUAAACUCAAUUAGGCCAAUCGCUUUGUCGGGCAUUUACCCUCAACAUUCCUUUCCUUGCCUUCUAUGUGAAGCCAGGGAGAUAUGAUAAAAGAGCGCAUGGAGCUGUCAACACAAUCAUACUAAUGUAGCCUCCCUAAUUAAGAAAGCACUAUUUUUUUUUUUUUGAAAAAAAAGUUGAGAAAGAACUGUAGAAAAAUUUCGUUUGUUUUUAGCUGUUAGCACCGGUUGGGAUGUAUGCUUUGGUGUUAGUUUCCGAAUGGUUGUGUUGAACAUCGUGCAAGGAUGGUAGGGACUGAUGCAACGAGAAAGCAAUCCUCUGAAAGUCUCUGUUGGGCUGCAGGUUUGAAGGGAGAAAGAAAAUGCUCUCUGGACCACGUUUUGGGAGCCAAUUCCUGUAGGUGUGCUCGUCGUAGUACACCAAUCGGCCCUCCAAAUUGUCACAAAGAAUGCCGGUCCCAUCAUGAAUUUCUCGAAGCCAGUCCGGUCAUGAUUCGAGACUUCUCCGAGCUUAUUCGACGGUUGAGCUCACGGCAUGGUUUGCAUGCAUGGAGGACUAUUGCUUCCGUCUAUACUACAGAGUCGCAUAUGUUCAUCUGCCAUGGCCUGUGAAAAGCCAAAAGGCCUUAACAAAACUUAUAAAGGAAUAUUUCUUAACAUGGAUUAGUAAAAGCAAUUUACUAAAUAACAAACACAUAAGAGAAGGUUAGAUAAUGCAGAGGCUGGUAAAAAGAUUUUGACAUAUGAACUAUUCCAUGUUGCAAAUAAAUAUCACUAAUUGAUAACUAUAUAUCACUAGUGAAUUUUGUUUGUGGUGAUAUCCUUGUCGGGGUCUUUUUCAUCAGAAGCACCAAGUACUCUAUGCGUCUCUCGAGAAGCUGCCUGCAGCCUUUUAUAUAUCAUGCGUAAUUUACUAGCCUUAUCAGGGUGAUUUGCCAAAAAAAGUCACUUAAUCCGCAGCUCCAUUUGUCUCCUUAUAGACAUAUAUUGCCUUGAAGGUAAUGCCAUCACUAGCUAUGCCUUAGAUGUCCUAAAGUAGGGAGUGGUGUCCCCUAGCGUCCCUAGGACACUCCCGGAUCCAACUGAUCAUUGUAACGGAGACACCUUCAAGCAGGAUAGCAUUGGCCCGCAGCACACGCCAAGUAUGACAAAGACCAGCCCAAGCUGCCCUCAACUCCGCCCCCGGGACCGAGAUGUCGAAGAUCGGGCUCCCUUCGGCUGCCACCACUCUAGAGUUCAGAUCUCUGAUCAAGAAACUAGACAUGCAUCGGUGAUCUCCGAGCUAUCAAAGACUCUUCAGAUAGACAUGCAUCGGUGAUCUCCGCAGCCUGCACACGGGCCCUUUUCAAGAUGAGCCUUGGCGUAGAAUUGCUCUCUCUGAAUAUCUAGAAGUUCAUUGCCAACCAAAUAUGAUAAGCAGCGUAUGUGGCCUUGAUGGCCUCAAGCCGUGUCUGAAGCAUAGUCGACCACCUCCUGAGUGCUUGAGUAAAAGAGCCAGACUGGCACAGAGACUCUGGCGGGAUAUCAAAAAGUUUCCACACCCACACAACUCGAUCACACUGGAAUAGAAUGUGAUUUACAGACUUCUCCACCUCCAACCCGGGAUAGGUUGGGGGAAUGCUCAACCCGGGCUUGCUCAAGACGGCCCUAGUCGGGAGAUGUCUUCGAUUUACUUUCCAUAUAAGUGAAAUCCUUAGGUUUCGACGAUCAAAUGGAUUUUUAUAUUUUCUUGAAUACAUUCUCAUGGGAAGACAUUGCUUGCUUAGUGAAAUAAAUUAGAGAAGGUCAAAAACCCUCGUCUAGAUAUUCAAUGAGCAGAGCAAGGAAGAUAUAGUGAAAAGCUUCUAAGGUUGCUUUGCUAAUCUCUCCUUUGUGAGAACACACAUACACACAUCCCUCAAUAAGAUGUAUGUAUGCAGUUCGGGGGAGGGGAAACCCUCCCCUGAUCCUUGGCAUGCAUGCAUGCAUUCAUUUACUUACAUGUCUUUACUUCAUUGCAAGUUAUCAUAUAGUAAGAAAAUUAAGCAAAAAUAUUUUUUUUGAUUAUUUACUCAAAUAAUAAUUCUUUUUGACUAUUUAUGGGGAUUGUCCACCCAUCCUCCUCUCUUCUUUUUCACAUGUAACCAACGUCGAUUAUGUAUCUAUUUUAUCCAUUUUACCACUAGAAUAAAACUUUAAAAUACUUUUGCCGAUGAAGAUCUAAUUUGUUUGGCUGCAGAAUUUAAGCAGUUGCUUUCCACGUGAGUACAUCAACAUUCAUGUAGCAUAAAAAUUCUCUUGCGUCACUGCUGCUAACAGGCACGCUGAACUUUAGUUUGGAUAGCACGAAACCUUGCCACUUUAGAUAAGAUGUGGGGGGUACAAUUCUGCAGGGUGUCGACCCUCAUUUCGAAUCUAAUUAUACUGGACUCUGGUUCUAUAAGUGGCUUGGUUUGCUCGAAGAUCUGUACUCCAACUCGGGUAAGGUCAGCUGGAUAUAAGGAAGAGCGUUAGGGUUGCAUCUUUAGUGUAUCAAAGUAUUCCGAACCACUUCAAUUGUCUAUCUGCAAAGAUCUCAAAGUGACCAUUAUGCGAUCCGAGGAUGGAUUCGCAUGAGGAAAGAGGAUGAGGAGUCCGUUCCGGUCUUUGUGUUUAUAUGAAAAAAGCUAUCUCAAAUAGGCAUUGGGCUCAAACAUGUGGACUGGGCGGCUUUCUUUUUUUUUUUUUGUUAUUAGUGGCUGCUCACACUGAUCUUGCAUGGGUGCAGCCAACAACAACAAAAAGUUGGCAAAGAGAAGAAGAAGUGACACAUGACUCUCCCAAAAGACUCCUCUCGAGUGUUGAGCAGCAAACGAGACGACUCAGUUAACUGCCCUGUUCGCCUUUCGAUAGACAUGAGCAGCCCGAGCCACAAUCUCUCACUAGCCUGCGUAUAUCAUGAAGUAACGGUUGUUCGUCCCCAUUCUUGUGCUGGUCUCGAAUCCAUUCGAUCACUGUGGCAAAGUCUCCUUCAAAGUAGAUGCUAUUAGCACCCAGAACAUGCCUCGCAUAAGUGAUGUCCUCCCAUGUAGUUCUCAGCUCUAACUCGAUGACAGUUGCGUCGUCCUCUAGCUGCGACAAGUCUGGAGUCAUGACCUCUGAUNNNNNNNNNNNNNNNNNNNNNNNNNNNNNNNNNNNNNNNNNNNNNNNNNNNNNNNNNNNNNNNNNNNNNNNNNNNNNNNNNNNNNNNNNNNNNNNNNNNNNNNNNNNNNNNNNNNNNNNNNNNNNNNNNNNNNNNNNNNNNNNNNNNNNNNNNNNNNNNNNNNNNNNNNNNNNNNNNNNNNNNNNNNNNNNNNNNNNNNNNNNNNNNNNNNNNNNNNNNNNNNNNNNNNNNNNNNNNNNNNNNNNNNNNNNNNNNNNNNNNNNNNNNNNNNNNNNNNNNNNNNNNNNNNNNNNNNNNNNNNGGUCAGUAGAUAACCCCAUGCGGCUAUGCCACCUUUCCGAUGAACACGGCCACACGUGGAUGGACGCGCAUCCUCCAAAUCUAGCCUCCAUCGAUCUGUUGAGACGUCCCCCACUGAUCAUAGCUUAAAGGACAUGAGCACAUACCUUCGACCUCUCUGUCAUACUCUAGACCAAUCUGUCUGCAGUCUCCUGAGUAGGAAUAGAUAGUGAUAGGACUCUUUCAACCAGCUACUCCCCAAAGGGUCGCCGCAUAAAAUUCUCAUUCCAACUUCUCUCCUCUAGAAUGAUCAGAUUGCAGACUCUACAUCCGGCCAGCCUCAUAGGGUCAGCCAUGGUCGGCAGCCGACUGAUCGGUUGCUCGAUCAGCCAACUGUCCUCCAACAUUAAUAGUCUGCCCAUUACUAAUAGCCCAUCUGAUUGAAGGGAUCACCAUCAAGGCGCAGGCAUAGAUCUCUCUCCAAAUAAAAAAACUGUAACGUCCGGUGUGAAAGUCGGUCACCGCAGCAUGAGUCCUAUACUUGGCCCUCAUCAGAGUGCACCAAAGGUUGUCAAGUUUCAGAAUGUACCUGACCGCAUGUCUAGCCGCAAAGAUCUCAUGCCUCAUCGUUAUAGAGUGAACAAUCAACCUGCCAUUACUGACCGGCUGGCAAACCACCUCCCAUGCCAUCCGGUAAAUGCCACCUCUUCUCUCUCGCCUACCUCAAAUGAAGCUUUUGAAUAUCUACUUCAGGAUUCUCAAGGGCACUAACGACAUGAUGGUGUUGGACUACAAAUAUAUCGGUAUCGAGCUGAGUACUGACCGCACCAGAGUGAUUGUCCAUCAUAGAUAGAGCACUUGAUUGCCAACCCUCAAGUCUGUGCUUGAUGCUCUGCUUGAUAGUGGAACAAUUUCGAGGCGAUGAUAAACUUUAGAUAUUUUAGAGCGCCCUCCUGCUCACCCACUCUCAGGAUGCCCUUGAUAGAGGUUUUCAGUGGCUUAAUCCUUAGAUUGGAGUAGAUGACCGACUUGGCGAGGUUGAUUCACUGUAUAGAGACUGCACCGUGCUUCUUUAAGAUUUUUUCGAUUACCUACACUGAUUGCCUUAUCGCUCGAGCCAAAAUUAUGCGGUGAUGGACAAACAGAAAAUGCAUGAUUUGAAUAAAAGAGGAAAAAAAAAGCAAGUAGUCAGUCCAUCGCCACCGAGGACUCGUAGAACUGCGUCCUGAGUGCAGUUCCAUACGGCCAUCCCCGAUUACGCCUCGCUCUCUCGUGUCCGCUCUCUCCUCUCCCGUCUCGAAAUAGGGCGAGGGUUAGGGUUUUUCUCGAACCGGAUCGUCCCCCAAACCCUCAUUCCCAUACGAUCCCUUGUUCUUCCGGAGAUUAAGAAUGGAGGUUGAGAAGGGCGGCGGCGGCGGGAGCUCGCUGGUCCCAGUCGUGCCGCCGUUCUUGAGCAAGUGCUACGAGAUGGUGGAGGAUCCACAGACAAACGGGACGGUGUCCUGGAGCGAGACCAACAACAGCUUCGUUAUCUGGGACCCCGCAACCUUCUGCCGGGAUCUCCUCCCCAAGUACUUCAAACAUAGCAACCUCUCUAGCUUCGUCCGCCAGCUUAACACCUAUGUGAGACCCUCCCCUUCCCUCUCCUCAUAGUUGCGAUCGGUUUCUCCUUUCAACUUUUCCUUUCCUGGAUCUUUAUGAGUUGGAUUUGUAUAAUUGGGUGAUGAGGUGGAUUCUGAUGUUUUCGCGGAUUUAUGUUCGUUAGAAGGCGUUGCCAGUGAUGAUUCUGUUGAUACCGUGCACAAUCGAGGUUGGUUGAAUGCUGUGCAGAGUGGUUUCUUGCUCGAUUAGGGAUUUGUUAGAUGGGAACAUGAUUGAUGCUUUUGUUUUCAAAAAUCUAACGUUGAAGGUAUUGCCAUGAAAUAAAAAGCAAAAAUCCAAUCAUGUUGAUUUGGCUACCGUUCUGUUUAUAUGCAUGAGCAUGUGCACAUGGGCAGAAUCCUCAAAGUUGAAGGUUAGUUGAAUUGCAGAGCGAGGAUCUUGCGAGAAGGGUCAAUCAGUGUGGAUUUUGCAAGAAGGGUCAUGUCUGAUGCUUUAUUUAUUAAAAGAAUUUAGGAUUUAUAGAUUGAGGUGUUGAUAUCUUUGACAACUAUUAAAUACCAAUAAUCCCAUCAGUUGAUUUAACUGUUGGCUUUGUGAAUCUUGAUUAACUUGUAUCCAAGUUUUAGAGAUCUGCUAUCUUGACAUUUUAAAAAUCCUUUUAGAAAUAUCCACAUAUUAUUUAGGUCUUUCCCUCUUCUCCUGAAAGCUAAGGUAGCCUUCUAAACUCAUUUUCCUGACGUAAGGAAUUAUAUCUGCAAGAUCAUGGAACUUCAUAUUUUGUUGCAUAGGGAAGUUCUAAUCACAUAAUGACUAGUGUAAACUUGGAGAUAUCUUAAUUUCAUUGUAUUUUAAAGAUUCAAGAUGGAAAAAAGAUGCUGGUAUUUUGUGUUAAGUGGGAAUGAGUAGAUUACCAAGUCCUUGGUAUUAGAUCAUUAUCAGUGUAAUGGUCUAUUUCUGAUGCUGUUUGAGACUUAAGACCUUACUUGUUGGUAGUCUGAUAUUAUUUUGUGAUAAAGGAUGGAUUUGAUAUUAAGACGUUAUGACAAGACUAUUUGAUCUCCUUCAAGCUCAUUUGAUGAUCGAGAUACUCUUAUAACAUGCAUACUCAACCUGUUUUUUGGGUCAUCAUGGAUGAGCAAGUGACAACUUAUGAAACAUAUCAUCUAAUUAUGAACUCCCAUAACAGAUGUGGAGCUGUCUCCAAGAGCCCUCAUAAGAAUGAAUAUUGCAUGAAAUGGCUGAUUAAGGUUUCAUUUCUUCUCAGAUUUGUGCAUAUAUAGUAUGUACCUCACCAGAAAGGGUUGUUCAGAUAGUGUCCUGUAUCUAGCUGCAUACUCUCUCUGAUACGUUGGUCCAGGGGCCUGUAUGUAGGCUGAAGUCCAUUAAGGGGCCGAAGGCCCUAUUAUUAUUGUUAUUUUAUUUUCUAGCGAUAGUUUAGUGUUAAUCGGUAGCCUUUUUAUGUGCUUACAUACUAACAGCAAUAGAGAGACAAUAUAGAUAUUUAAAUAAUACUGCAAGAAAUUGUAAUGGCAAUAAUUGUACUAUGACUAUGGUCACUAGCUCUGACGUUUCCUUUAGCCUAAGUGUUGGUAUUUACAAUCUUCAUGGGCAUACGGACUAGUGUUGUUUUCUAGAAAUUACUGAGUACUGAUUCCGUCCACAAAUCUGGAUGAGAAGAUAUGGAUGGUUUGUGUUGGGCAACAUCUAGCUGUAAAAGCCUGGUCACAUUGAAAUGAACAUUGAUUAAAUUUUAUUGAACAUUAACAUGUUAGUUGCGGCAACAUGCAACCUGUUACAGGAAUGAACAAUGAUGUGAUAAAGGUUACCAGAAAAUGAUAGCAAGAAGGAUUUUUGUCACCUCUUAAUAAGUAUUCAUUAUUUGAUGAUUGGAGUUUUUCUCUUUUGGGGUGUAUGGAUUGUUGAUAGUAAGUGAGCUGUGAAAGGAGAGAAAUUGAAUAGGAAAGGCAUAAAGAUGAGGAUGGAGGAUGAGCUAAAUAGUUUGGCCGCUUGAUCUAUCCAUUGGAUGUGCAAGUUGAUGAUGCACUUAGGGUCUAAUGAUGUGGAUCACAUAUUCAACAAAAGAGUUGAAAAAAUAUAAGAGAUGAAGCCAGAAAAAGGUUGAUCCUCAAGAAGUUGCUUACUACUGUUUUUCUGUUGGUUUGUCAUCAUUAUUAUUCAAAGAAAUAACAAUUUGAACAAAUUUAACUAUGUGGUUCAUGUGGAAAGAUCGAAAUCCAUUCUUAGUGUAUCUUUUUCAUUGCAAAAGCAAAAUUCAGCCUGAAGAAAUUUAGCUAUAUGAUUCAUGGAAAGAACAAUAUCCAAUCUCAGUCAGUCAUGUACUCUGUUAAACUUAAAUUGAUAUAAGAAACUGUGUGCAAAUGUUGUAAACCACCAUGUUCAAUGUGAAUUGUGUGGACUGAUAUCUCUCAAUUAGUGUUUCAUGGGAAGUCAUUUUCAUAACCAAUCACUUAUCUAGUUAAAUUUGAGUUGCAGCUUUUUUUGGUUCAGUUACAGUGGGUUAUGAGCUCACAAUCAGUAUAUGGAUGUCUAUGUUAUUUUUAGUCAGUUUGUUUGGUUGGAAGGGCUUUUAUUAACUCAUUGUCCUUUCUUGUAGUAUAAAUGGUCACCCUUGUGUUAACAGGGUUUUCGAAAGGUCGAUCCUGAUAGAUAUGAGUUUGCAAAUGAGGGAUUCCUGAGGGGACAAAAGGAUUUGCUGAAGACCAUUACAAGGAAGAAGCCUUCCCAUAAUGCUGUUCAGCAGCAUCAGUCUCAAGGGAGAAAUACAUCUGUAAAGGCAUGCGUCGAGGUCGGAAAAUUUGGGCCAAAGGAGGAAAUUGAAAUGCUUAAGAGGGAUAAGAAUGUCCUCAUGCAGGAGCUGGUAAAACUCAGGCAGCAUCAGCAAAACACUGACCAUGAAGUUCGCAUUCUGAGACAACGAAUACAAGGAAUGGAACAGCAUCAGCAACAGAUGAUGUCAUUUUUGGCCAUGGCAGUUAAGAGUCCUGGAUUUGUAGCACAACUAAUGCAGCAGACUGGGAAUAAUAGGUGGACCGAGGCAAAUAAGAAAAGAAGGCUUCCUGCCUUGGAACAGGGUGCUGUAGGAAGUUUCCAGACUUCAUCUGAUGGGCAGAUUAUCAGAUACCAGCCUUUUAUGCCUGAAACAUUGAGGCCAUCUAUGUCAUCAAUGCCGAAUUCUGUUGUGUCACCUAAUUUUCAGCCCAUGUCUAAUGGAGUCAACGAUUUGUCCACAGAUGUGGAUGUCAUGUCACUUGAGGCUAACUCCUCUUUGCCUCCAGGAGGGGAUAUUCCUCUGACAGAAUAUAUUGAACAACUUUUGGCUAGCCCGAUUUCAGAGAAUCAUGGGCAGAUGGAGCCUGAGUCCUUGGAGGUUCCAGAUUUUAUGUUGGAUUUUGUUUUACCAGAGCAGGAAAUUCAGAUGGAAACAUCAAAAAACAUGGUUCUUCCAAGUGAACAGAUGGGAGGGAAUCAUCAAGCGUCUGAGAAAGAUGACAGACACACGUAAGUUGGGUUAGCCUCUAUGGGUCAGGAGUUUAGAACAUCUCCCUUCGUUAAUGUAUACAUAUGUUAAUGUGUGUUCCAAAUAAGUGCAUUACAUGUCCCUUCGUUUUGUUUGCUAAUGAUAAGUCUGCGACUUUGUUUUUUUUAAUAAUCUUUCUAUUUAUUUUUUUUAAAGCUUUUACCAAAGAAUUAAAUCUCAGACCGAAUUUUUUCUGCCCUAAUGACUGAAAUUUCUUUGGCUUUUCAGCAUUUCUGAAUAUGGAAACUAGGUGAUUGGACAAUAUAUUAUAGAGGGAUGGACUGCGCUCAUUUGCUGGCUGAUAAACGUCAUGGUUACCAUGAAAUACUGGUGUAAGGCCAAUUAAGCAAAGCUUUUGACAUGCAUACUAAUUGGAUGGGAUUGGACUUUUUGUUUUUCUUUUUUUGAUGAUCUGGCUUUGACAUACAUACUUAUGAUGGUAAUAUUUAUCAGAGGAUUUUUUUUCCCUUAAAAAGUUUUUAUAUCAUUGCAUGCCCUGGGAGGUCAAUGUGUGUGUAGUAAUCAAGAGCAUACACAUUUUAACCAGUCUUAGGCUUAUCAAGAUUAUAUGCUACAAUAGUACCACUACUAGACUAAUGUAGUUCUAGAAAUCCAGUCCUAAAAAAUCUAGAAUUUUGCUGUAGAUGCACUAAGUCAUUGUCUAGUAUUAUCAAUUUUUUUCCAGUUCUAAAUGUUAUUUGCUGAAACACAGAGAAAAUAAAAUUUCUUAUCAGUAAUUUUGGUGUAUUUAGACAAUAGUAUCAAUAGAUUGUUCUUAUGGGCAGGUUUCAUAAAGCCAACCUCAAACAGGGGGGAUACACCUAUUAAUUAUGGAUUUGGUUAUAUUGUUAGGGGACAUGAUUGUUAAAAGCCAUACCCUGACUUUUUACAUUUUCUUGCCGGUAAUUCUAGGAUUAGGUGGAGUUUGUUUUGUGGCAUCUUUGACCUUUAUUUGGACCUUCCAAGAAUUUUUUAUGUUAUAAUAUGCAUAUGACUUUGCCAAUACAUACAAAUGGGAUGUGGGAUGAAGACAGAGGCUGUUUAGGCGAUAAGAUUGUGGAACUGUUAGAGGGGUACUGUAUAUGGUCAAGGUACAAGUUUUUAAAGGAAAUUUCAAAGUCCAAAAUGCACGAAGUAUGAUGUCUAAAGGGAUGUUUGCUGACGAAUGUGACAAGAUUCCAGCUUGGUCCCUGUUUAGCAUCCUUGUCAUUUCUUGUUUUCUGUUUUUGAAAAUGGAAAGAAAAACAACAUAUGAGGCAUGAAACAUGUUCAAUAAAGACAUUUUUGUUUUUUUUUUCCCAAAACAUUCCUGUUGAAAUAAAUGAAAUCUCUAAACUUUUGGAAGCAAAAUUUCUCUGCUUCCAAAAUUGAAAACAAAAACAAUAGAAUAGGUUACUCCCCGAACCUCCAACUCUACCACCUACGUUGCCAGAACCCCUUCCUUGUCACCACCACUUGCUGCCACCGCAAAUUGGAUCCCUCCAUGCUUUGUUGUCAUUGCUGCUGCUGCCACCAUCACCAUCACCACCAUGACAACCUUCACUACUACUGCUAUACUGCCACCAUUAUGGCCACUACUCACUGCCACAUCCCUCCAACUUGACAAAUGCCCUCCCCAUCUUUCACUACCACCACCGCUACGACCCCCAUUGCCUCCACCAAUGUCAUCAUCACCACUCGUGUAAUGAGUGAAAGCAAAUCUAGUUACCAUACAUAUUUCUAUUUCAAAAUAUUGGAAAAAAAACAAGAGCAAACAGAGGCCCAAAGAAGCAUAUGCACUAUAAUGUAACCUUAAUCAGAACCAACAUGCUUUAUCAUGCUAAUGUGUUUUAUUUUGUUAUAGUUGCCAUUCCAUUCAUUCUAAUCUAUUUCUAUCUCCUUGAUCUCAUUUCUUUUAAAAAAAUUCACUAUCGAUUAUUUUCCUGGAUGUUGAUUUUUUGUUUUAAACUCUUAAACUGAAAAUUUUGAAUUACUCGUCAAGGCAAUUUGCAUCUAUGAUAAUCUGCACCUAUAUGUUAGUCUUAUGAUUGGGUGAAAAUACAAUCUACAUUUUAAUGCAUUCUAGUAAGAGAGAAAUUUACUGAUAUGGACUUGAUUGGAUCUGUUAAAUGUAAGGUUAGUAAUGUUUUUGUGAGGCUUUGCAAAAUUGGAGAAAGUUGGAGAAGUCUUUGAGAGUUGGUAAGAGAAUUUAGUAAAAAGGGGUUAACUCAAGAAGGAAAAAUUCUGUCCCAUUAUUAUGUUGCAAGUUAUGAGGAUAAUGCAAUAAAAAAAAGAAAGUUGAGAAAAGAAAAUAUAAUAUUGUAAAAUGGAUGAUGCUGGUGUAUCUUAAAUUGAAGGGGAAAGGGAUAGAAAGAAUCAGGUUUUACAUUCAAGAAGAGUUGGAUAUGAGAUUUUAUGAUAUUGUUAUGCAAGACAAAAAUAUCAUAUAAAUAUUUGGGGGUUUUGGGUUGCAUUAGGUUAUUUUGAAGGUAAGCCUACACUAGACGUGGCCUUAGGAGUUGGAAAUUCAUUCACAGGCCUUCCCAUUAACCUAGUCUAUUGGGUGUCUCAUACCCAGUUUGGUUUUGGGGAUAUAUGGUUCUGGAAGCAUGGAUGAAAGAAAUGAACAAGAAAAAUAAAUUUAGGCAUAUGAUGUAUGCAGGAUUUUCUUUUUUUACAGUUAUUGCUUCCAACGACUUUAGUUUUAGAAUUUGGGUCUGCAUGUCUUUGCAUCAGUACUGAGCAGUUAUGCGUGACACUUUGAGGGGCUGUUGGGUUGUAUGUUAUUCUUUUUUUUUGGGGGGGGUAAACCAGUCGCUCAUGUUGUAUGUUAAUUUUAAAACAGGUAAUAAUGAAACUUAGUUCUCUGCAAAAGCAGGUCUUAUGAAAAAUAAGGGAAGGCCUAUUUCUCAUAAAAUUAAUUUCAGGUUUAUGACCUAACACUUUUGACCAACAGGCUUUUAUGGUUUAUGGUAAACAUCCAUACAAGUGUUUUUGUAAAACUCAUUCAUUUAAGAUUUUGUGUAAACCUGUUUUAGGAAAACUCAUCAACCAAAUGACCCCUAAGGAAGUGUCUUUGUGAUUCUUGUGGGUCCUGUCGGGUGCCUUGGAGAUCGAUAACAAACAUCUGUGCUGCGGAUAUAUAAUGGAGCCAGUGAAUUCAAUCUCCAUUCAAGUCUCCCUUACCCUUACCAAAGACAUAUUUUCUGUGAUGGAAUUAACAACAAAAACAAUCAUAACCUAUUAUAUUUCUUGUUUACAAAUAGUUGGUGAUCAAACAGCUUACUGGUUUUUCCUUAUUUUCUAAAAACAGGAAACUGGCAAUGCAACCAAAUGCACCCCUAAUUAAUUAAUGUGGAAGAUUUAAUGUCACUCUCUCUUUAGGUUUUAAAUAAAACCUAUCCUGAAUCUGAUGUAGUUCUAACAGCUGAUUUGCGAACAUAGAGUGCUAGUUAUCUUCAAUCCAAGUUAUAAGCCUUUUGGAUGGUGAAAGUGUUCCAUCCUCUGUGUAUUUUUGCAACUGAUUGACAUAUCUGGCCCACUUUUUUUAUGUAUUGCAUGUGAUUAUUAUAGAAAAGAAAAGUCAUCUUAUGGGUUCUAGCAAGUGUUGCUAUAGAAGUUGUGGUUUCUAUAGGCUAGGCUAUUGUUCUUGUUGCAAAAGUUUGAUGGAGUACAGGUCAAGAUUAAUUAAAAGAUAUAACAGAUGAGGACAAAUUUAUUUAGGGCUAUGAAGGGUGUUGGUUCCCACGUGUUUGCAUUUAAAAUUGCUAUUUAUGAAGGUUUAUAUAUUUGGUUGUGUAAGGGAAUUAACUGUGGAAGAGCUAUCAGGUGUUGGAGUUUUCUAGUGAUUUAUUUGUUUGGAAAGUAUUUUGGUUUAUUAACCAAUUGUUUUUGCCUCUUCAGACAGCUAGAAGAGUGAUUUACUUAUUUUUCUCUUGUUUGCUGUAAUUUCUAUUUCUCCCUUUAUGUUUGAAGAGGAAUGGUAAUAUAAUUACUGCAUUUCUAUAGUUCUUUUUAGAAAGUUUAAAAAGUUUUUGUGUUCAAAUUGGACAGAUUACGAUAGGACAUAUUUUGAUUUUUUUUGUUUGAGAGAUAUUAGGUUCCCCUCCCUUCAGGAGUUGUAGUUAUCAAAUUUCGAGUCCAGAAGUCAGUUGAACUGUUGCUAAAAGAGAAGCAGGGAUGAGAAGGAUAUAGAUCAAGACUGCCACCUUAUUAACCCCGUGGACAUUUCGAGCCCUUAGGAUGUUUUUGUUUCAUCUAACUGGCCUACCUAAACUGGUCCUUUUUCCAAUAUUUUGUCCUGGUUACAUUCACAACUGAGCUUCUAAAUGCAGCAUAAAUGUUGCAAUUUAACCUGUGGUUGACAUACAGUGAAAACCAUUGUAAUUCAAGUUAUAGUUGCUGAGGAUAGUUGGUGGCAUUCAUUAUGUUUACAAAUGAGUGUAGUUAGUUGCUAUAUUGCCACCUUUAUUGUGUCUUCAGUUAAUACCUUCAGUUGCUAGGUGCCAAGUGGAACAUAAUCAUCAUCUCCUCUCUCUUUGCAAACAGCUCCCAAGUUCUCUCUCAAGUUUAAAAGAGCAUCUGACUUAACUUAUUAAGAACUGCCUUUUUAUUUUACACAACAUUGGUAUCCAUUUUCUUCACUUUGGAAUAUCAGCUUUGGGAAAUAUUUUUAAGAAGAUUGAGUUUGAAAUUAGUGUUUAUAGUCCGCAGGAAGUGUACUGUUUGCUAUGGAAGUGUGCAGCUUUCAUAGCCAUAUUUCAUGGACCAAUGGACCCUACUAGUAUUUUGCUCUUCUCGUUUCCUUCACUGUGAAUCAACUUUUUUUUUUUAAUCCAUUUCUUAAUUUCUCUUUCUUGUUUCAGCCAUUUUUGUCCUACAAUGUUGACAUCUAUAUUUUUCUUAACCUAGCUGGAACUUUUAUUUGCCCAAUGUAGAAAACUACUUAUCAAGAUUUUUCACCUUGUGACAAUUUCAUUUCUUAAACAUGGUCCUCAAGCCUUCUUCCUUAUACAUCGGAUCAGCUUUCUUGAGCAAAUUGGGAAUCCAUCAAGUUCUAGGAUCUUUCUAUCAAAUUGGUGCCAGAAUUCUGGCCAAGACAAGAAUGGAAAAAACUAAUCUUGCCAUAAGAGCUAGAAGGAAUAUCCGGCUGUCUGUGGAUUUUAGUUUAUUGGUUAUAGUUGUAUGAUUUAAGCUUGUUCAAACAGAACAAACCAUUAUAGACUUUAGUAAUCAAGGCAUGUUAGGUAGAAACCUUAUUGACUUUUUCCCUCUAAAAAACUUGAAAUUUUCGGACAUUUGAAUGGUCAUCAAUGAGCUCUUAUUGUGAUGAUGUUUCUUUUUCUGCCACAAUUUCUCGUAUAUGUAAAAGUUUUUUUGUUUUGGUAUCUCUCUCUCUCUCUCUCUCUCGAAGCAUGAUAGAAAGAGAGAGAGGAUUUUGUUUCUUAUGUGAAUACCAAUUCACAAUGGCUAUUUUUUGGCCUUAUGACCAAAUCAUAAAUGGUAUUUUCUUCUAUAUGGUUGAAUUUCAUCAACAAGUUUAUAUCUCAUUAUAUAAUUGAUCCAGGAGGAUUUUUAGAUUUGAUGUGAACUACUUUGGCUACUACGAGCAGGGAUGGACAAGGUUCAAGAGUGAGAUCAGCCACAUCGGAAAGCCAAAUCGCUGGCCAACUUUCAGAGGGCAUAACUUGGUAAUACGUCAUCUGAUUAAGAUAUUUUUUUUAAAAAAAAGAUUGGAUAGUUUUUCGAAAUCUACGAUAUGACGGCACACCCUUUAGAGAGCGACACCUCUAGCACCAAGCCCACAUUUCAUCGUUUGGUGUCUGAAACGGGCCGGUCAAAUCGAAAGUUUUAUUUUCGGAUAAGACUUUGAUUAAGCGUAGCCUCUAUCCAAGAAGAAUCAGGCAGAGCAAUAGAAGACAAUUGAUGUAGAAGUCGAGAUCUUCUUUUUGUAGAAUUUUAUUUUUGUAAAAUUAUUUCUGUUAAUCAUAUUUAUUUUUGAAGAUCUAGUCCUAUUCGAACUAGGAGAGGAAUCCAACCCAAAUUGUGAAAGGGAUGAUCUUACUAAUAUUAUAAAUAGGGGUUAUGUAUCUCAGUUUAGGAGGUGCGGAUGAUCAAUGAAAGAAAAAAGGACUUAAGCCCUACUUUCGCAAUUCUUCUAUCUUCUUUUAGUUUUCUUUUGAGGAUUCAAGUUGAGCGGGUUAAGAAAAAUCUUCCUUCUCUCAUAUUAGAUCUAUAAUAAGCCUUUAUGGAUUUUGUGCAAUAAAAAGCCAUGUUAAUUAAUGAGAUUGAAAGAACAUUCAGGAAUUGUUAUUAAUUGAUGACUUCACUUGUGCCUAUCUGGAGGCUGUAGUAAGUUUCUACUUUCAAAGACUAAAAGCUUCAUUUCAAAUUGCUCUUCAGAAGGAAAAUUUUGAAGUUUUUUUUGAAAUCCAAGGCAUGCUGUUCAUAUUUGUUUAAUCAUAAAAUGAAGUAAAUGGCAUUAUUCACAUCAUGUGUAUCGUAUUUUUUUAUUUUUUUUCAUAUAUGCUAACUUUGCAUUAAAUUUGUCGUGGCAUCCAUUAGCAUCUACCAUUACAUGCAAUGUAUUGUUGCGAUCCCCCAUUAUAGUAAGUACAGAGAGUGAAGUACUCAAUAUUCUGAAUGCGUAAAUGUAGAAGGAAUUGUAUCAAUUGAUGAGAUUAUUGUAUUAUGUGUUAAAGCUAAUGUCCUACAGUGCCAAAUGUGUGGUGGUCACUGGUUUAUAUGAUAUAAUAUGGUGUUUUGAACUAGUCAUAUUAUACUAGGCAUAUAAAAUAGGGACAAAAUAUAGUGCUCUGAGUUGUGAUGAUCGUAUUUAAGAUGUGGUAUCCAUCUUUGUGUUGCUAGUUUAUCAGACUGUGGUCAUGUCGGUCAUGUCUCGCACUGUAUCAAGGGCACAUUCAUAUCAUGCUUUAGCAUUGUGUUGCAUACUGUCUCAUGUGCUCUUCAUAUUGCCCAUUUUAGAUUGUUCGAUAUGCUACUUACGCCUUGAAUAUGCUAUUUUUGUGCAAUAUUAAUUAUAGCGCUGUGUUUUAAUCAUUUCUGCAAUGCAAUAAUCAUAUAGCAGUGUCAUUUUUUGCUGUUCAAAAAGUUUCAUUUCAAAGUGAUAAUGCUUAAGAUUAUAGAUUCUUUUCAUUAAAGCAAGCUCCCUGCUUGUCUUGGGAAAAAUAAAGGUGCAUGCUUUUAUACCAUUGGACCUGGCAGAGUGAAAAUUUCUUAAGCAUCAAAUCAGUGCUUAACAUCCAAUAAAUGUUCCAUGAAAGUUGAAUUUGUUAAGUAUCAUUUUGUUGGGUGCUGGAAGGUGUCAAAUUAGUGCCUGACACAGUCAAUUUUUAUUUGAAACCGAAUUACAAAUCAAACACCUGACAUGCACUGAUUUCCCAUUGAAGGCGAAAUUUGGUGUGUGUUGAUCAUACGAGGUUGACAUGCCAUCAUCGUUGAUUGUUUGAGGUGCCAAUUGGACUUUGGUACAUAAAAAUGAAAUUACUGCUGGAGUUCACUGAUUUUUGCAUGAUCAAAAUAAGUUCAAUUUACCUUUUUACUAAUUGGCGUUGGUUCCCUUUUUCGGGAAGGGCAAUUAUAGUUUUGAAUUUCAGUUCCUCCCUUAAUGGUUGAAUUGUUUUAUUGCUUAAUGGAUCAAAUAAUAUCAUCUUAUCUACUGUCAACAUUUUACUUGUAGCCAAUUUAUGAUGGAACAACUUUCAUAUUUAAGCAGAAAGUCAUUAGUCAUAUAUUCCAUAAAAUGCUCUAUAUAUUCUUCUGUUGUUGGUGAAAUUUGACCAUAAAAUAAUAAAAAUCGUUUCAUGGUUCAGAUUUCCAUUUGAAGCGAAGCCUUGCAACACUGCCAAUGCCGGUCCCAAAAGCCCAGAUGAGAAAGGUGGUGGGUUGAUGUUGUGCUGAUAGAACAUUGUAAAAAAACAAAGGUUUUCAGCUGAAGGUAAUCCAUGAUGAGCUUGAUGAAUGCCAAGUCUUUCGACAAGCUACUCAAGGAGCCUUUAGUUGACAGACUGCUGUAUCGCAUGCAACUCGUUGUUGGUAAAAAAAAGUGAGUUGAAGGAAACAGCAUGAACAAUCAUCGAAGGACUUGUCGAACUAAAAAUAGGGGUCUGGGGAACUUAACCAGCUACUUAAAGUUACUCCUGACCCCCCCUGGAUAUAACUUUAAUUGCGGUUAGGUAGUUAAAAUGCUUUGGUUGGCUAAAGUCAACCAUGCAAAAAAUCCAUGAGACCGUCUCGAUAAAUAAGUGGAUGAUCAAUUCUUAACCAGGAUAAUUUUAUCCCGGAACCAGAUACACUGCCUGAGGUAGGCUCCUCUUUGUUGUAUAGCUCAAAUUGCUGGCUUAAGUUCGAGAGAAAGAAUGAGUAAGAAGGUCGCAUUCCCACUAUGUUUAUAGAAACAAAAAGAAAAAGUUGGAUGACAGCCUGCCUGUGAUGUAGAUAAUAGAUCAGAAUUCCUCCCUCUUCAUUUAGGCCAGGCUGCCAGCUGCAGGUUAGAUGAGCUAGGUUACAAAAUAAGAUUAAAUGGCAUGAAGUUGCCAGCCUAACAUCUUGUGAAAGCUCAAGUCGGCAUACAAAACCUAGAUAAGAACGAGACAUAAGAAGCAUGGCUCGUCUGAAGCAAACUUGCAUGGUUCUAGAUGACCACUUCCGGGAUGGGCUUCGGUGCCAGUAGCGGAGGCCAGCUCAUGGUAGGAGAAAGAAAUAAAAGCAGAAGCAGACCACCUCACUCCUACCAACCAGCUUUUCAUUCUUCUGAAAAGUUGCUUUCCUCACUGAUCGAAUACGCGGUAAGAUAACAGCUAGAUCUCUGCAGGAAAGGACGUAAUAUAUAGCAUCAACAUGGAUGGGACCCGAUUGCUUCACCAAUCCUGCCAUUUUUGUUUCAGAGAUCUCUGGGGAGCCAAGGCGCAUCAGCUGGCUGCCAGCAUUUCGAAGGCAUAGCGGUGUGUAACCUGUUCAUUGAGAGGACCGAGUGGCUGGCGGGCAUUAUUCAGAACUGGGAUCGUCAGGUUGCCAUCAUAUGGUGCACGUAUAUAAGUACGUUCCAACUGCUAGGUAGUGUUGUGGUUUGAGGUGGUCUUACGUACUCCAAAACAAUUGUUUAACAUAGGAAGAUCGUAUUAUCUUUCAAAGAGAUAUAAUUAUGUUUUCAAAAAUAGAACCACCUUUAUUUAACACAAAUGUGAGCAUUCGUGCCGAUGCGUGUUUAGGCCCACAUCGCCGAAAAGAUUUUGGAUUGAUACAAAUGGUAUCAGAGCUGCAACACGGGUUUAUUGAGGCUGACCAUGUACUGAUCGUGGUGUUUGUGAUUAGAUUUGAAUGUAUUUUGAACCUUUGCCUGAACAGGACGUCAGAGCUUAGACAGAAAGAGUAUGUGAAGACUCAUGCGGAUAUGUGUUUAGUUCCACAUCAAUUAUUCAUCGAAGAGAUUUUAGAUACUGAUACAGGAUGAAGGAACCAAAAAAAUAUAUUCCGACUAGCCAUUUUGGAUGAGAUCCUGAGUUGUUAAAAUAGAAGUUAAGAUAAACUCAUUAGCUAGACCGAAAGUGGCUAAGGUUGCAAGACUCUCAUGGUUGGCACCCCGUCUGUUCAUGUUUAUCUUCGAACCCCGAGCUCUAAUGCUCGUAAUUUUGCAUGGUAAGAACUAUGUCCUUAAGCACAGAUGCUGAGACGCAAGGGAUCAGAUUUGCAAGACAUGGGUGUUGGUCAGAAUAUUUUCAGCACAGGUGAGGCGUACUACUGUGCUUUUGGCGUGGUUUGUCCGGUGGUGGCCAAUUUGGUUCCGUCUACAUGGCCUAAAAUGUUUUCUCUCGCCUAAAGCUGACCCUCAUCCAAUUAAUGGAGCCUUCAGUCUAUACCCAGUUAAAAACGUGAUUUCAAAUUAAAAUGCUGCAGCGCCAAAAACCGAUUCAAUUGAGUAAUUUUUCCUGACUUUACGUCAAAUUAUUCCAAGCAAAAUUCAGCUGCAUACACAUGUAAAUUUAGCUAUAGUUAUAUCGCAAUUGAAUAAGACUAACAUCUAAUGACCCAAAACAAAACUCUUGGAGGAACCUUUAUUGCUUUUAGAUCUGUUGACUUCUAAAAUUUUUAGUAAAUUCUUAUGAUACGAAAAAAAAAAAGAUACUACAGUUCCGUCAUGUAAAUUAUUGUAAAUUAUAGAUAUUGAUGGCAUGGAAGAGGACAAAUGGGCUAAGAUGGCAGCAAACCUAACUUGAGCAGAUGGCAUUGUGAAGAAGAUGCAGGAGUCAUCAAUAUUAUUAUCAUAAUCCAAAUUAAAUACAAUGAAUAUGCAAACUCCCCCCUAAUGUCAAUGCUAGUUGGCAUCCAAAUCCCCAUCAAGAGAUUAAUUUAGAUCUCUAACAAGAUAGCAGCAGAGUUAAGAGGAUAAAGGGCGUCAUUUUCAUGCUACCCAAGCGGAAGCGUGUCUUCCUCAUCCAUCCUCGACGAAACCAAGAGAGAGAGAAUGCGAGCAAACAACAAAGAGACCAUCCGGAUUGACUCCAUCAACACUGGACUCCACUCCAUCCAUACUUCCAAAUUACUACAGAGCAAAGGUGAAUAUUGGAUAGAAUUAACCAGUGCGACAAUACUUCUUUACGCGUGCUAACUAUAUCUUGCUUAUAAGAUUGUUAGAAUCAUUGAAGGCCUUGUGUCAAACAUAGUCGGCCUCCAUAAAAAAAGAAUAAGAAAAGAAAAUUAUAUUUCUAUCCUUUUGUUACAAUACCUUUAUAUAAACUAAAAAAAGGCCGAUAAAGCUAACUAAGUUUGGGAGGAUCAACUUUUUAAUAUCUUACCGUAUAGAAAUAUAUUAAUCGCAAUCCAGAAGACAUGCGCGUCUGGUGUAGUGGUAUCAUAGUACCCUCCCACGGUACUGACCGGGGUUCGAUUCCCCGGAUGCGCAACCAUGCGUAUAUUUUUUCCCCCUCAAUUUUACUUUUUCUUGUGAAUCACUGGCCUCAGCAGCGAGCAAAGCAGACGGCAGGUCUUAAUAUAGGCUGGCCCACCACCGAUGCACUUGGAUUCCACUAGAUCACAACCAACCAUACGAGAUAAUGAGAACCAAAAAAUACUUUUAGCGGUGAUCUUAUCACCAGCCGCCAGGUGCCGACAAUCCAAUCCAUUUCCUCGAGUUUUAAUUCAUGUGUCGCUUAAUAUUUGUCGUUUUGGAGGAAUGGUAUUAUCGAGCGUGAGGGUUGGGUUGCGCCAUCAGCCACAUCAAAUGGACGGCCGGCCGGCCAGCCAGCCGCAGCUUCCGAGAACCCUCGCUCUGAUGGCUUGAGUCGAGUCGUAUCGGGACGGCUCCGCCACCUUAAAAAUUUCUUCCACAAAAUUAUCGGAAUUCCAUCGCAUGCUCUUCCGAGCUUCCCCCACCCCAAUUAGUCCAGUGACUGUGGAACACGCAACAUCAGGGUUUUCGAUCUAGCUGUCAUCCGUGACGCUACGUCUUUUAGUUACCGCAUAGCUUUGAUGACCGCUACGUGUACGUCAUGACCAUCGUCAUUGCAUCGUUCAUCGAUUCAAAGAAUAGGUAUACAUGUGUAUGAUGAUGAUAGCCAGUAGCAGCAGCUACCAUAAAGUAAGUAACCAAAGGGUAGGAAAAUAGGAUUUGUGAAUUUCUUGUAGUCGAUUGAGGAUCCAUUUUAAAUUUGUGAUGCUAUAAUAUACUGACUAAUAAUGGUUUCAUUUAGAUCAUACCUAAAACAAGGAGAAUGAAUGGUCACUUGCUGCUGGUCAAUUCAAAAGAAAAGAAUUAGAUGUAUAAGUCAAGUCAUCUUAGAGUAGAUGGAUGACCUUCUGAAGAAGAGUAGAAUAAUAAGAAGGAACAGCUGCCAUGAAAAGCCUUAUCUUCCAUUAAUUGUCAAUUGAGGGUGUUGUGGUUCAAAUCUUGGCCCGAGGAUGACUACGCCGGAGGAGUCGAGGAAGCUGCCGAAGUGUGGAAGGAAAGGAUGGAAACCACUUCCUGUACGGCGGUGUACCUGCACAAAGCCUCACCGGUGUUUCCGGUGAGGGCCCUCUGACGAUCAAGUUAAGGUGGUAAUCAAUUGAUCCAGCCAAAAGUUCCUUAGGUAUUACCUGACGGGGCUAUUUGUAGUCCCUCUGGAGAGGCGCAGGUGGCGGAGGUAUUGUUCUUCCUCAUCAUAAGAGGGGACGGCUCUCAGCCGGAUGGCGCGCAGUUAGAGCUUGCUAUUGGCGCGCGGUGCUAUUCGUUCUUGGGAACGGUAAGGUGUUGACAGUCGUAGCAAGGUAUGGCCGGAGUAGCACGGUGCUGUCCUUGACUGUCAUGGGCCAGCAAGCAAAACAUGGCGUGGCAACGUCGCUAUGUACGGCCAUGUAGGAGGGCGUGGGCAUACAUAUGGGUGCGGUCGUUGGCAGAGCCGAGCUCGUUGAGAGGUCGCAUCAUACAUUUGGUGAGAACGGCUUGACGGGUGCUGAGGUUAGCCUAGCAUCUCGGGUUCCGAGGUGUGCACGUCGGAGCGUCCCGAGCUUAAGGGUCAGGGCGUAUUAUUGGAGAGGGUACCCCGAGCUCGAUCGAGGCGAGUCGACGAAUACAGGAGGCGCCCCGAGCUUGGUCGGGCGAGUCAGCGAUCGUGGAAGGCGCCCCAAACUUGGUCGGGCGGGUUGGCGAAUACAAGAAGCGCCCCAAACUUGGUCGGGCGGGUUGGCGAAUAAAGUAGGCGCCCCGAGCUUGGUCGGGCGAGUCGACGAAUAAAGUAGGCGCCCCGAGCUUGGUCGGGCGAGUCGGCGAAUAAAGUAGGCGCCCCGAGCUUGGUCGGGCGAGUCGGCGAAUAAAGUAGGCGUCCCGAGCUUGGUCGGGCGAGUCGGCAAAUAUCUGAGGUCGAAGGAGUUUUCGAAGGAGUUCGAGGCCGGGUUGGUUCUAGGUCGGACUGGAGUUCCGUCUGGCUGGCGUUGGUAUCUAUUGGGCCGAAAUUGGGUGGUGGGCAGGACGAUCUAUUUCGCCCCCCAUCAAAAGGAUUCUAGGUUAUAGCUCUUUAAUCUCUCAGCUGUAUGAACCUAGAUUGUUUCCAUACACUUUCAUCAUAUUAUCAGUAUUUUAGAUGAACAUAAUCCUGCUUGAGUAACUCAAACUAAUUUAUCACAAUAGCCACAUUUCUUGGCACCUUUUUUCCUGCUACUGAAUUUUCGAAAUGUCUUCCUUAUUCAUGUAACAGUUGAUUAGCCACCUGUUAAUCUCCCUAUGAUGUAUUACAAAAUUCAAUAUUUUUUUUUUUUAACUAUAUGCCAAUAUCCCAACACAAUNNNNNNNNNNNNNNNNNNNNNNNNNNNNNNNNNNNNNNNNNNNNNNNNNNNNNNAAUACAACUCAUAUAGCACAGAUAUGUUCUCAAAGGAGAAUUGGUAGUUACUCUUUCAUGCCUUCUUGACUUCCAGUCAUACCUAUACAAAAUAACCAAUUACAAAUAAACGAGUACUUGCCGGAUAACACCGUUCCUAUCUAGAUGUAUCAUUCCAUUUGGAAGCCAAUAAUUCAAGUGGUUGGCACCUCCAUAUUGGCAACAAAAUUAAAAUUUUGAACUGUCACCUUUCAUCUCUAAGCUCAGCUAUCCUCCUUGCAGCUUGAUCCUAGUUUUUAACCACCAACAAGGGGAAGAAAUAGUUUAAACAAAUUAUGCUGCCGCCCAGUAUUCCAUUUCCAUAGUAGUCAUCCAUAUCAAAGAAAGAAAUAUUCUACUGCCCCUUGAUUUAAUCACUGAAAGAAAGAAAUAUUCCAUACUAGUCAUCCAUAUCAAGAAAGAAAUAUUUCCAUCUGCCUUGAUUUAAUCAUUGAACAAACAUUUAUAAAAUGCACAAAAUUUUUCAUUGAUCAAAACCCCCCCAAGUAGUUUCAGCAAAAGAGAAACCACUCCUCCCACCAAGCAACCAACUACACAUAAAAUUAAUUAAUUAAUUAAAAUAAACCAAUAAAAAAGUUUGCCUCUUGGAAGCCAACUCUCCACGUGGAGCCAACUAUGUACACUAGAUAAAAAAAGUUUUGCCGCUUGGAAGCCAAGAACUCUGCCUCGGGCGAGGCGGGUCACAACUCAGCCGUCGGCGAGCAGUUCCCUGAGCGCCCGGGCCGACUCGGACCGGUCCCGGCCAGCGACGAAGGGGUGGCCGAGGAGCUCAGCCACCGACCACCGCUUCCCGGACUCCUUCUGGAGGCAGCACCCAAUGAACCCCCGGAACUCCUCCGACGCUUUCCCCUCCGGCGGCGGCGCCGGUGGCUCCCCGAAGCAGAUCGCGCACAUCAGCGCCGCCCAGUCCGGCCGCUGCCCCGCCGGAAGUAGCGGGAAGUGCCCCAGAUACAGCUCCAGCACCGCCAAUCCCAGGCUCCACACAUCCGCCGCGUAGGGGUCGUAGUCCCCCCCGUAUGACUCCGGAUCGAAACGCUCCGGGCUCAUAUACGCGCACGUCCCCACGUAGGACAUGCACGGGUCCAGCGACCGUCGGAGGAUCUUGCCCACCCCGAAGUCGGCGAUCUUGAUGUCGCCGGAGCGGUUCACGAGGAGGUUGGAGGGCUUGAGGUCGCGGUGGACGAUCUGGUGGGAGUGGAGGUAGGCGAGGCCGUGGAGCGCCUGGCGGGCGAUCUCGGCUAGGGCGAGCUCGGGGAAGGGGCGGUUCCCGCGGCGGCGGAGGAGGGAAUCGAGGGAGCCGGCGUCCAUGUGCUCGAGGAGGACGGCCACGUCGCCGGAGGGGGUGGGAAGGACACCGUGGCAGCGGACGACGAAGGGGGAGUCGGUGCGCCGGAGGAUCUCGACCUCGCGGGAGACCUGGCGGCGGAGGGAGGCGUCGGCGUCGGUGUGGAGGACCUUCAGGGCGUACGCCGCCGCCGUUCGGCGGUGGCGGACCUUGUAGACGGUGCCGCCGUUGCCGUGGCCAAGCACCUGCAUCUUCUCGAAGUCGGAGAGGCGGUGCUCGGAGGUGGAGGUGGAUGCGGCGGCCGCUGGGGGAGGGGGGAGGGGGAAACGGAGGCGGCAGUCGCUGGCGGCGGAGGCGGAGUCCGGGAGGGGGAGCUCGAGGGUCAGGUUAACCCUUCUCUGUCGAACAACGGCCAUAAGAGAUUUAGGGCCAGGACCAGGGUAGGUUGUGGAUUGGAUUUGGGGCGAUCGGAAAAGGGAGGAAGGUGGGAGGUUAUAUAUAUAAAGGCUCGUUUAGGGAUGGUGGGCUUCAGAGUGGAUCGGAUGAGUGCAGUUAUAGUCACCUCCAGUGAGAAUAAGCAUGAUAGUUGAUGAACUCUCUUCGUUUCUUGAUUCUAGAGUUGUGACGUGGAGGAGAAGAUGGGUGGAGUGAGGGUGGGCGAGGAGGUAAGCGGAAUCGAGGGCGAGAAACGUGGUGAGGUUGGGAUGGGGACGGCGAUAGGAAGCGGGGGAGAAAGAGAGAGGAGGACUUUACCAAAAAAAAAAGAAAAAAAAAAAGAAGAGCGGAGGAUUAAAAAAAGAGACAUAUUGAUGGGACUUGCAAGGGAACUAUAGAGUUUGACACGAGGAGUGACCCUAAUUAGGUGGUGGAUGGAUGAGUGGUGGUCAAAUUAUUUGGGUUCGUACUUUGGUGUUUCUAGGAUUGAAGAGAGAUUUUGGAGGAUAGCCCAAUGAUUAUGGAAGUUAGAAUCAAAUGAUAACUUUUUUUUUGUGAUCCAUGUGGACAAGAUAGUACAAAGCACUUUUUUAAUAUGCCAAACGAGUCCCCUGUAUUUGGGGGUGGGAGGAUUGUUUUUAAAAUCUGGACAAAAUAUUCUAGAGAUUUUUCCUACAAAAUAAUUAUAUAUAUAAACAAAAACAAAAAAAAAUAUAAAUACUAGGGAUAAAGCAAUACUUUGAUAUAUAUAUAUAUAUAUAUAUAUAUAUNNNNNNNNNNNNNNNNNNNNUAUAUAUAUAUAUAUAUAUAUAUAUAUAUAUAUAAGAUGAUUCAAGUGCUUUCGUAACAAAAUUAUUGGAACAGUUUUUGGUUUUAAUUUGUUAUCCAUGGCUUUCUCCUUAAUUUUAUCUUGGCUAAUUGUAAUGCAUGUCAACGGCACAAGAUUUUAUAUCUAGAAUAAUUUAAGUAAAGUUCUGACUUCAAAAAUAUAUAAUAAAAUUAUCACCAAAAAUAAAGAUAUGAUAAAAGUUAAGGAUUAACUAAUAAUUAAUUUUUCUAAUAGAUCAUGUCUCACUUUCAUUCUUUAGUUUAGAAAUAUGAUUUUCUUUCUUUAAAGUUCUUAGAAUUUCGUAUUUCGUAGUUUUUGAUAGAGAAAGGAGGGGGGGGGGGGGAGGUAGAGGCCACUUUUGGUAGAGAAGGCAACAAAAUAUUACGUGCCUAGCGACGCAAGGUGGGCCUUUUGGUUGGGACGCACGUACGCAUUUCGGCACGUUUCUAUCCAAAAGGGAGUCGUUAGGGAAUAAAGAAUAAAAACUCCUUCCAUUCCGACACGUGCUGGAAGGAAGCAUUGGAGCGCAGCCUUUCCGCCCCGGUUGCUUCCACCGCUUUUCCUCGGCCCCUCACGUGUGCCUUUUAGCUUCGGCUCCAGCAGCAGCGAUAUGCUCACCUUCCAAUCACCUUCGCCUCGGCUUCAAUCUUUUGAAAAAUUGCAUGAAAUUUUGGAAGGAUCCUAAGAAAACAAAAGGCCAUAGCAAGAGUUUCCAAGACCUCCUGCUAUGUUACAUGGAUCAUGAAAUGACAAUUAUUUGAUCCAUGUAAUGAGAAAACAUGUGUUAUUCGACAUUUAUAGUGCGUGAAAUUUUAAAUCUUCAUCCUAAUCAGAAAAAUAAUUUUAUUAUCAUCAAUGUUACAUGGAUCAUGAAACAUGCAAAUGAUAAUUAUUACAAGGCUUAUCCAAAGAAGGUAAAGUCGUGAAAUUUUAGAUCUUUGUGCUAGUUAAAAAAAUAAUUUUACUAUUGUCAAUCUUAAUUGUUAAUUACCUUUUUUUCUUACAACAAAACUAAUUAUAUUGUUCAAAAAAAUAAUAAUAAUUAUUAUAAGUUAAAUAUAUUCCUAAUUUUUUUUUUGAACAAUAUGAGAUAGGCUUUCUACCAAAUAUCUUUAAGCCUUCAAACAUCGGCUAAGACGAGUUAUCUUCUCAUAUCUAAAAAAAAUUAUUUACUUAUUUUCAAAAAUUAAUAUUUUAAGUUAUUCUUUAAUUUAGGGAUAGAGCUAUUUUUAUCUCGUGGGAGCCUUGCAUUCCUAGCACUAGGCCUUGGUGUCAGCUUACAUGCGGUGCCCUAGCCGGGAGCUGGUGGCUUCAAGCAUGAUAUGGACCUUUCAAGGGGCUGAGACCCACCAUGGUACGGUCUUCAAUUUUUUUUUUCCGAGCCUUUAGAUUUGCUCGGACGAGGAAAUAUAUAAAUAUAUUCUUUAUAUAUUUAUUGUUUCUGUGUUGUAACUGAUGAGGUGUCAGGUAAUAAUUUAAAUAAAAAUGGGCAUGUGAUCGAUAAGGCUACGCCACCGGAUGCCAGCGACAGGGUAUGGUUGACUUGGAGUAUAUAUCACAACAAGAUAAGUCCUUUAAGUGGAUGGCUUACACUAAAAAUGGAAUGAUGAUGUUAAAUUUAUAGGACAUAGUCUUCGCGUUAUAUCUCCAGACCGUCGUUUAGGUCUGUCAUAACGUAGAAGCUAGAGUUUCCAUAGGAGCCAUGCGAGGUAGCAUGCAUGGUUUUAAAAUUUAUUUCGGGUUUGGACAUUAUUGAUCAAAUCUAGAAAGUAUGUCAUAAUGUUUAGUUAAAUUUAAAUAAAUUAUAUAUAUAUAUAUAUAUGGAUGUUAAAAUCAUAAGAUUGAUUAGAUCCAUUGAUUGAUUGAUUAUGUCAAACUUAGUCGAUCUUAUCAAAUUUCAUCUUGAUUGAUUUGUAAUUAAUUGUGCCAAAUUUCGUCAGCUUUCUACUCUAUAUAAAAGUUGCUCUUGUAUAUUAUAAUUGAUAGCCAGAAAUAUAAAUUCUUUUUUUCUAAUUCUUCAAUUUCAAUAAUAGGCAUGAAAGCUUUUUUUUUUUAUCGUAAAGAACUGGAUCUAUGCCUAUGUAUUCAAAACAGUAUCAGUUUUUUUAUUUAAUGCUUCACUAGAUUUCAGCUGGUUAAUUUAUAUAUUUAUUUUUUCUUAAAAAUAUCUAUUCGGUUACUUAAUUCUAUCUUGAUUUGAAAGAGUAUUAUUAAUAUCUUCUUUAACACUGGUAAACAUGACAUUUUUAUGAUUUAUGAACCAAGAGAGUGAGGUAAAGAUUUAAAACUUUACAAGACUUUCAUGUCAUAUCAUACAUUAGUUGAAGGAUGCUGCAUGAAGUCACUUGGAUGUGACUCGAGCACGAAAAUCCGCUCCCAUGCUUUGCAAGAUUUCAAAUAAAAUAUGCUGCCAUCAAUGUAACAUGGCGGUUGAACUAAUAGGAGAGAAAUAAACACAGGAUUCAAAUAUCUUUUUGCUGGCAGUAAAAACUGUGCAAAAUCUAAGUCACACCCAACUGACGUCACUUGCUGGUUAAAAGUAACUAAGACUAAAUGCAUGAAUGUGGAAAGAAGUUGUACUAUAUAUUAACCGGGUAUACAUGUUUCAUUUGUUCAGAAAUUUAUGACAAAGUUCUAAUAUUCUAGGUGAAUGUUUGCCAUUUUUUAUUUCUUUUAUUAACUGUAACUAGUUUUAUUUUUUUUUCAAAAUGCUAAAAUUUGAAGCUUAUUUGAUAGCGAUUAUAGUGCAGAAGAUGACAAUGAUAGAUAAUGAUGGGUGGCGGCCAAUAAUUAAAAAAAAAGGGAUAGCGAUUCAAUAAUCUUACGGAGCAUUAUAUUUAAUUACCAUGCUUUAGUCCACUAUUCAUACAACCGAUCUAUAUCGAGAGCUAUGACUAUUCAAGACAUCAGUAUAAUUUCAUGCUAUCAUGCAGGUGAAUUAAUUAGAGUUAACUAGUAUUUUAAGAAAGAGGGGAGAGGAGGGAUGGCGGUUUAACAAGCUAUUGCAUCAUGUUUUNNNNNNNNNNNNNNNNNNNNNNNNNNNNNNNNNNNNNNNNNNNNNNNNNNNNNNNNNNNNNNNNNNNNNNNNNNNNNNNNNNNNNNNNNNNNNNNNNNNNNNNNNNNNNNNNNNNNNNNNNNNNNNNNNNNNNNNNNNNNNNNNNNNNNNNNNNNNNNNNNNNNNNNNNNNNNNNNNNNNNNNNNNNNNNNNNNNNNNNNNNNNNNNNNNNNNNNNNNNNNNNNNNNNNNNNNNNNNNNNNNNNNNNNNNNNNNNNNNNNNNNNNNNNNNNNNNNNNNNNNNNNNNNNNNNNNNNNNNNNNNNNNNNNNNNNNNNNNNNNNNNNNNNNNNNNNNNNNNNNNNNNNNNNNNNNNNNNNNNNNNNNNNNNNNNNNNNNNNNNNNNNNNNNNNNNNNNNNNNNNNNNNNNNNNNNNNNNNNNNNNNNNNNNNNNNNNNNNNNNNNNNNNNNNNNNNNNNNNNNNNNNNNNNNNNNNNNNNNNNNNNNNNNNNNNNNNNNNNNNNNNNNNNNNNNNNNNNNNNNNNNNNNNNNNNNNNNNNNNNNNNNNNNNNNNNNNNNNNNNNNNNNNNNNNNNNNNNNNNNNNNNNNNNNNNNNNNNNNNNNNNNNNNNNNNNNNNNNNNNNNNNNNNNNNNNNNNNNNNNNNNNNNNNNNNNNNNNNNNNNNNNNNNNNNNNNNNNNNNNNNNNNNNNNNNNNNNNNNNNNNNNNNNNNNNNNNNNNNNNNNNNNNNNNNNNNNNNNNNNNNNNNNNNNNNNNNNNNNNNNNNNNNNNNNNNNNNNNNNNNNNNNNNNNNNNNNNNNNNNNNNNNNNNNNNNNNNNNNNNNNNNNNNNNNNNNNNNNNNNNNNNNNNNNNNNNNNNNNNNNNNNNNNNNNNNNNNNNNNNNNNNNNNNNNNNNNNNNNNNNNNNNNNNNNNNNNNNNNNNNNNNNNNNNNNNNNNNNNNNNNNNNNNNNNNNNNNNNNNNNNNNNNNNNNNNNNNNNNNNNNNNNNNNNNNNNNNNNNNNNNNNNNNNNNNNNNNNNNNNNNCUAAGAGAGAGAGAGAGAGAGAAUUAGAUAAAUAUUGUUAAAAACUUGGCUUAAAGUUUAUACCAUUGAUGUGCCGGGUAAACCCAAAACUUUCUCUUGAGUCUAUUAUAUGUUUAAUGCUCUGUUGGAUUCUCUGCUUCAUGCCCUUGCGCCCAAGCUAAAAGAUACAUGCGGACACAAAAAUAUAAUUUCCUUGUUUGAUGAAUCUCCGAUUAUCUUCUCAACAGAAGGGUGGCGGCCUCGUCGUCAUUUGCUUAAUAAAGAACUUUUGAAUGCAUAAUUAAGCCGAAGCAAGUCAUUCGAAUUAUUGUAUAUAUAAUCAAUUCAUAUUGGCCCUGCUAGUUAGUAGUAGUUAGUUUUGAUUAUAUAUUCACAGAUACCAACUGCCUCAGCUAUUUAUAGAGAGAUUAACAUUGGCCAAAGUCAUUGUCCCUUUUUGCUGCCCAAUCUCCAUCAAACGCCAAAAGUAUGCAGCUCAAGUGGCCCUAAUUACACGCAUAAACGUAGGCCGAUGGGGCAAGCAUGAGAUUGUCCAUAUCCGAAGCCAAAAAGGCCACUUACCAUUUGAGGGCACAUUCAUGCAUCUGAUGUCCUUCCACCCACCCCUCUCUUUCCACAAUUUAUAACAUGUGGCUAUAUUUAGUUGCAAUGAUUGACGCAAGUGGGCCGUUAGCCUCCGGAAUCCGGCAUGAUUCAUGAUAUGGAUUUAAGCUGACGUCCCUUCCUUUUCCUGAGCGCCUCGCUGUUCCUGGUCCAGCCGCGGUUCAUUUGGUUUAGGAUUUGGGUCUGGUCUUAGUUUCCACUCUAAUUGAACCCUAUAGCAUGAACUUGUUUCCAGGUACGUACCGAGUCAUCUCAGAUUGGGUUCGUGUUUUUAUGUCCGGUUCAUUCCCGCUGUCAAUUCCAGUUGCUCAUCAGUUUGGAUUAGGCUCUCGUUAAAUCUGAACUUGGCCCCAAAGUAUGGAGUGCUGAGUUCGUCAACAGAGGGUCUAAAUCCGAUCAGGGCCACAUAGGUCAACUUGUCACAAUAACCAAGUUCUCGAUUUGCAAUAAAUGUUCGCAUAUGUGCAUUUACACAAGAAUAGCUAUCGUGAUGAUUUUUCAAAACUAUUUAUCUGAAAAAAUUAUGGUGUAUAGUAAAUUUUAUCAUAUUUAUUUGAUGGAUAAAUUACUCUAAAAAAUAACACCAAAACAAGAUUGUUAUAUUUGGUUGGAAGUAAUCAUAUAUGAAAAUAUGGUUAAAUUUUUGGAAUAUUUUUGAAUGAAAAAAAUUCAAGUAAGAUUUUUUUUUAUUCAUUCUAUUUUUUAGCCAUUUCAAAUAUUAAAAUAUAUCUACAUAAUUGAUAAAUAAUUUUAAAUUAAUUAUACAUAUAUUUAUUAUAGAUAAAUUUUAGUAUUUUAAUUUUAUUAAGUAAAUGUAUUUAAAUACAAUCACACCAUUAUUUGCUUAAUUUGGAAAAAAAAUCAUUAGAUAGAAAAUUAGAAAUUUGGAUUUAGUAUAAUUAUAUUUUGAGCUACCAUGUAUUAAAAGGAAGUUUCAAGUAUUUGUGGGUUCCAAUGAGAAUAGUGGAGAUAUUGUUGCCGAUCGAUUUUAGAUUACCUUCUCUAAGCAAUUGGGUGUGGAGAAAAAAUAUAUCAUCUUUUGGUGGUAUCUGUUUUAUUUUUUCUCUUAGUAAAAUAGGUAUGGAAUCUACUAUCCUCUUUUCAUACCAAAUAUGAUAAUAUGUCAUACACGGUAGGUAAUGCUUGUUUUGCGCUAUGUCUACUUUUAUAGAUAGCUAUGAACCAAACGCAUCCUAUUGUGAAGGGUCUGGCUCGGAGCAAGCUCUUGAAUGAGAGUGAGAAUGAGUGAGAGAGAGAGAUGUUGAUGGGAUGGGGGCUACUUGAUUGGUUGGUUUAGGUCCUGUUUGGGGGCGCUGUUAGUAGUAGAGCUUUUGGAAGUAGAGCUGUUGGAAGUAGAGCUGUCUGAAGCAGAACGUUUAUAAAAAGCUGUUUGCUGUUUAGUAACUAUAUUUCUAAAGUACUGUGGCACUUUAACAUGUGUUUGGUAAACAAACUGAGAAAGUAUUUUUGUGUGACAAAAUAAACAUAAAGGACAUUACCAAUAUUAUACAACGGAGUAUAAUAAAAUAUAAUAUGUAUUAAUACAUAAAUAUAUGAUAUAGUAUAAUAUUAAUGUAAUGUAAUAUAAUAUUAUUAUAAUAUAGUAUUAUAACAUUAUGUAUUAUAGAAUAAUAAUUUAAUAUAAUAUUAAAUUAUUUAACAUAGCAUAUCAAUGUAUUAUGAAAUAAUGUAAUAUAAUAUCAUAUUUAUAGUAUAAUACAAUAAUAAAUAUAUAAAAUAUUAUAAUUAUUAGUGUAAAUUAAUUUUUCAUCCUUCUAAUGACCAUUUAUCUCUCUAACAAAUUUUCUAGCUAGGUGAUAAAAUUGGUUAAAUAAUUACUAAUAUUUUUAUUUAUUUAUUUAUUUAUUUAGAUCAGAUUAUUUGCCACUCACUCAUUAUUUUUCUUUUUAUUUAUUUAUUUAUUUAUUUAUUAUUUUAUUAUUUUAUUUUAUUGAAAUAUAGAGGGGUCGCCGGCCAUGGGUGGUGGCCGACAUGGUGGCUGCCACCGUGGGCAGCCACGAGCUCCCAAAACAAAAAAAAAAGAGAAAGAAGGAAUAGAGGCGGCGGCGUUGAGAGGAAGAAGAAGAUAGAGAGGGAGAGGGAGUGGAUGGGCGCGAGAGGAAGAGGCGGAAUGAGAGUUUUUGGGGGAAAAAGUGAGAUUUAAAUGGGGUAUCUUGGUCCAAAAAAUAGCUUUCCGACAAAGCUGAAAACAGUGUUUCCGGAAAGCUCCAAAUUAGAGCUUUUCCCCAAAAGCUAUUUUCAGCUUCCCGCAAAAGUUGAAAAAGCUUUCCAAAAAUUUUACCAAACACUAUUUUUUUUAUCUAAAAGUACUUUUGGAGGGCCAGAAAGUACUUUUUGGCCCUCCAAAAGCUCCUUCAAACAAGACCUUAAUUAGGUUGGAAAGAGGCCCAAAUAUUAUUUGGUUGCACGAAGUUUGCAGCGAACAGUACGCAUUUCUCUCCUUGACAAGAAAUUUAAGAUACCCAUCAAGUUGGUCCAGAAAUUGGACCAUGCAAGCAAGGAACUAAUUGGAUCAGGAUACAUGGGACCUAAUUGCAGUGCCAGCCCAUUACACUCUCUCUGCCAUCAAUACGAAAGAUGGGGAUGCUUUAGUUACAUGUGAGGGUAAUGCCACUUUAUAUAUGCUUUGGAUUGUUCCAAGCGUACCGCAACAGCAGCCAUUCCAAGGUGCAUGAGGUUAUACGCGGGGACUCAGAACUCUCAUACUCAAAAUAUACGAAUCAAUCCACGGAAACAAGAUUGAGUGGUUCAGCGAGAUCCCAUUGCAUGGAGCCAUAGCUACGAUGUUGAUCCACAAUAGCACUGAUAUCUAUGGAUUAGGCUCCAUUUUUCUCAUCCUUCGUCUCCUUUUUAAAAAGAUGGAUGCCUUCAACUUCUGAAUACCAAUAAAACGCACACUGAGGAUGCGCUAUAACAUCAAGGUAGUUUUCACUCUUUGAGCAGUAGCUGCGAUUAGAUGCUUCAAGUUUUGUGCGGUGACUGUGUCAUUCCAGCGAAUAGUAAGGCCGGCACAACCAUGGGUGAUCGGAGCUCCAGUCAGGUGAGAGGGUCUUCCAGUAGCGACGACCGUCCUCAGCCAAGGAGGACUGAGGCUAGCACGACAUGGACGAACAUGGUGCAGGGAUCAUUAGGUAACCUCAGUGGACCAACCACAAGAUCUUUUAGGAGGAGCUCGACAAUCUUCAACGCUACUUCACAAGGGUCUUAGAGUUGCCCAAGAAAAAAGUGGAGACGUUGAGGCAAGCAUGGGAGUCAAUAGCAUUGAUUGCUCGAAGUCUUGGCUGGCGGGUAUCGGCUGAUGGGUGGCUCAAGAUAUCAAGGCCAGGGGAAAAUUGGACUAUGAGGUGAAGGUUUUUCCCAUGGCCUAGGACAACAUUACUCUGCGAUUCAGGUGCGACGGAGUGAUGGAUGCGGCAAUCGUUGACGGUAUGUGGCUGGUGGCUGAGAAGCUCCUCGCGAUGAAGCCAUGGGUGCCAGAUUUUGGAUUCGCCUUCCGAGCCUCCCCUGGAAUACUGGGAGAAGGACUCCAUUCUCGACAUUGUGGUGGUAGCUGUUGGCACUGGAUAGGUUCACGGACCGGCUGUGGAAGCUGGAAUAAUCCCAAAUUAAGUUGGAAAUUGACUCUUCAGAGCCCGUGAUGCUAGGGAUUUUCAUCCGAGGGCACUCUAGGACCUUCUGGCAAUCCUUUGUUUACGAAAACAUACCCGAAUUCUGUUUUCUCCGUGAAAGAAUUGGCUACCGAGAUAGAGAUUGCAAAUCCCCCAUACCACUGUCGAGGAUGAUGGAGGGUGAGUUGCGAAGGAAGCGUCCAAUGCCGAUGAUGGUGGAAACUGGCCGAGAGCCCUUGAACCUGGUGGACGCUGAACAACCUGCAUCGAAUCGUCGGCCGGUGUUCGGGCCUUGGCUUGCCACAGCAAGGAUCCGAUGGCCUAGGGUUUCCAAAGCCGGUGUAAGUUUGAAGAAGGCAGCCACUCCUACCCCGGAGUCAACUUCCAGCAUGGGCUCAUCUCAAUUGGGGCGAGUUUCCCUCAGAACCGGCCAAGCUCACCGGGGUCCCUGUCGGACUUCAGCGGCUAGCGAAAGCGGCAAAGGUGGCACGGCGACGAUCACCGGAGAAGACCUACAUUGUUGAUGACCUGUAGCGGAUCGGUGGGGAGGCUGGUAAACCCGGUCCCAGGUUGGAACCCAACUCGAAGAAGCAGAAGGCAAUGAUGGAGGCCUAGUGGGCCUCGACAGUGAUAGUGGGCCUUUGGACCUAGUUAUGAUGGAGGUUGGGUCGGGCUUGAGACAGACCUGGAUGCUAGCUAGUGUUGAUGGGAGGUUCUGGCAAUCUCCGACUCCCAUCACUACCUUUCUGAAUUACUUGGAAGAAAUUAUGAGGAUUUCUGCUUUGGGGUCGUGGGUGGUGAGGGAUGCUUAUGUUGCCUACCAAAUUUGGUUGGACAGGAUGCUCAGGUCUUCGAGAAUAAGAGGCAAUACUCAAGGCUCAUGGUCGAUAGAGCCUUACUUUAGGUGGCUGAGUUCUCUCAGUCAUCUUUUCUUGGAGAUGCCAUGAUUGCGAGGGACAUCUGGGACACUUGUUUAGUUCCUACAGCGACCUAGGCAGUAUUCAUCCAAUAGCAGCCUUUCUUAAGGUUAAUUUUGACGACAAUAUAUUUGAGGACGGUAGCAGAGUUGGAGCCAGAUUUGUGAUUAGAGGUCUGAAUUCUUGAUUGUUUGCGACUAGAGGUAGCUGCAUUUUUUGUCACUAUUUCUAGUACGGAGUUGAGGGCAGCCUGAGAGGGUCUUAACAAUGCUAGGCUCACCCUAAGAGCAGAUCACAUUCAGAUUGAAGGCAACUCAGUUGUGGUGAUUCAAUGGAUCCAAGAUUAUUGCAGGGAGGCACUCACUGCUGCAGGACAUCCUUAAGAUGACUAGGGAUUAUAGUGCUUUCAAGCUUCCCAUAUCUACAGAAAGACGAACGGAGCAGUAGAUUUGAUUGCCUCUUUAAUUGCUCGGCAUUAGGGUGGCACUCUUUAGCAUAGCCAUGAAACUAUACCUUUUUAAAAUUCUCUUUUACUUUUUGAUCUUAUGGGAUGUAUUCAUACUAGAUAUAUAUGAUCUUUCCGACUUAUCAAAAAAAUAAAAAAUAAAGAGCACACAAAUUCGAAACAUAUGUUCUUUAAUUAAAGUAAGAUAAUAAGAUAUGAAAUUUUCGUUUUCAUUAAAAUUUAACAAUCAAAUGAUGUCUUAAAACCAAAAAAUGACCCGGGUCAACAUGGCUUAUAUACUACUCCGGGCUUAUGAGUCGAGUUAGUUCAUAGUUAGGCUAGCUGCGUUUUGUAGCACGCGUACUCUUCUGUGGAGUCACACGGAACGAGCCUUGUCUUUUGCACGCGUUGCACAACAUGGUAUGGUGUUUGUCAAUGUUUAAUUUAAGGGGCCAAUUCAUGCAGUUUGUAAGGUUAUUGAAGAGUCCCAAUAACUUGAGUGACUCCCGCCCUCACCUGAUUUAGGCCAAGUUUCCUCUGUCCUCGUUGUCAUAAAGAAAAAACAAUUAUAUACAAUUAUGUUCAUUCAAGGAAAAAAUUUCAAGAAGUAAACAAUAGUUCUAUGCAGUAUGAAAAAAAAGAAGAUGUAGUUAAUUGUUCAAUUUCUUUUGACUAUAAGAUGCUUUUGAUUUCAAAAUUUAGACAACUCUUGAUGUCACUUCUGGAAUAGGAAAAGUUAUAUUUUUUUGAGUCUACGGUAUGCUAGCAUUUUGAUUGAUCUUUGAGCCCAUAAAAGUUAGUAGAGUUUAGUAACAAAUCCAUUUCAUUAAGAUGCUAUUUCGAACGGCAAAAUUAUCCAUUUAGAAUUCUCUAGCAAAAUAAUCUGAAAUAUUUACAAGAUCAUCCAUGUAAAGAUGUCGCAAACAUCGCAAUAGAUACUCAAUGUAAUCAGAACACAAAAAAGAUAUUCAAACUAAUUAUAUCAUUUUUAUAUCAUCUGUUGCUGGUGCACUUCAGAUUCUAGGUCUCAAAAGAAAAAUAAAAGGUUUAGAUAGUCAGAAGGCUAAAAGUAAUUCAAAGUUCAGAGAGUGACCUGUACAAAAUUUUAACUUAACUAUAGGUAUAAUGCACGAAACUGAGCUUCCACCAAAAGUAGAGGAAGGGAGACGAGGUCUUUGGACAUUUUUGCCUAACUUGCUGCAAUGUUGUGCAAUUAUUGUUCCCCUUCUAUCAACACGAACGGUUAUGAUGUUCAAUAACAUUCUCUCGGGAGAAUUCUUCUUCUAAUAUAACUAAUAAAUGGCGUUAGAACUUACAAUUUACUCCGCAUCGGACCACACGACGCCAGAUUGAUUCAAGUUAUCCUGGUCACAAAGCCAACUUUGCUUUUUCGGACGCCACCUGAUGAGCGACAUCGUCAAGCAUAAUAUAUGGAUUAUCGCUCGUGAAAGUUCUAAUGGCGGGCGUGUGUCUAGUCCCACAUCGAUUAUCUGCUAGGUAGAUUUUGGGUACUUAUACAGGAUUAAGGAACCCAAAUAACAUCUUCCAGCUAGCCACUUUGGAUGAGAUCCUAGGUUGUUUCAAAUAGUAUAAGACAUUAUUUGGCCCAUAAUGUAUGUGGAUUAUGGGAUACUAUAGCACGGUUUCAUUAGGGCUGAUCACAAUUCGAUUGUGGUGCUUGUGAUUAAAUUUAAAUGGAUUUGAAUCUUUACCCCUAAAAUGGGAAGAGUAUGUGAGGAUCCGUGCGGACGUAUGCUUAGUUCUACAUUGGUUAUCCGCCGGGUCCGAUGAAUGACCGAAACCACCUGUCUCCUCUUCAGCAAAAUUUUCACUAGUGUUUUGCUCGUGGGAUCAUGGGCAGGGUAAAAUGCGCAUGGGUUUUUAUCUGGAUCCUGGACCCAUGGGCCACAACAAGCUAUUGAGUGUAUAUUAUUAUAUUAAUUAUGACUUCUUAUCUCUGUGAUGACUAUUCCAAAUUUUUUCCCCUCUUCAAUGACUUCACAUACAAACUUAAUCAACCCAUGGCCAUUCUCCUAGUUCACUUCAGGCUCUUCAAUGAUCCAGGUUAUUGAUUCUAAUCACCCGACAGAUGAAUCUUUAUGAAAUUAAGGAUCAAUCAAACAACCGCACACGAGAGAUUUCAACCAAUUACACCCAACGAACAAGAAGAAAAGAGAUCAGAAUCACAGCACGGUAGACUUCAAAAUUUCUAAACUUGCUAUGCAACUUCAAAUCCUUUGGAUGCCAAUUACCAACCUUGCACAACCCCCGGCAACAGUUUCCAACAACCCAAAGUCAUUCAAAAUCACAAAGAAAGCACUUCCUGUAUUAUUAUUAUAGCCCCAUCAUCUAAUUAAUAUCUACAUCAUGUCUAAAAUAGAGACAGGAGUACUAAGUUUGAAGUUUGAACCACAGCUGAUACAAGUCUAUAUGUUAUAAGAGCUAGCUAUACUACUGCAAUAAAAAUAGAAGGAGAGCAAUAGUACUCGAGGAGGACUGGCUCAAGGGCUGAGAUUACACUGACGGAAGUGCUUUUGUGCGGUGCGGUUCUGGAUGAUCCCAUAAUCUCCUCCUUCAACUCCAUGCUCUUCUUCCAAAUCAGGUUGCUGUGGAAAGCAUAGAAGCAGGCAGCCCAAGAGGCUCCUCAACAAGGGAGAACCAAGGCAUAUAGCAUCAAUCCACUCCACCUGUUGAUCAGCCCCUUUAGACAUAAUCCCUGCAGAUGUGUUUGCAAGAGAAACUUCUCAAGAAAAAUGACUCUCUGCUGCCUAUAUGAGAACGAAAGGAAGCAAAGACAUAAAAGAUCAAAGUCUAUUGCUUUGGUACUCCAUUUUCUUCAUUGCUUGGUCUCUCUCCUCCUACUUUACCAAAUUAAUAUGGAAUCUAUAAAGUGGAAUCGUGCGGAGGAGCAUUAAGUCUUGCACGCGCAUCUUGGGUAAGACUCUCUCUCUCUCUCUCUCUUUUUUGCGCCUUGGCUCUUGGGUAAGACUUUAGCACGCGCUUUUGGAGAGUCCCUU
This 47490-nucleotide long non-coding RNA is filed under the name Phoenix dactylifera (date palm). Its description in RNAcentral is "long non-coding RNA (PDAC_LNC000450)". The stretch from base 29772 to 29842 matches the Rfam family "tRNA". The record is from RNAcentral. Lineage: Eukaryota; Viridiplantae; Streptophyta; Magnoliopsida; Arecales; Arecaceae.